Molecule: long non-coding RNA, 56544 nt
Filed under: Setaria italica (foxtail millet)
Lineage: Eukaryota; Viridiplantae; Streptophyta; Magnoliopsida; Poales; Poaceae
Description: long non-coding RNA (SITA_LNC006163)
Source: RNAcentral
GUUUCAAUUGUUGGAUUUGGAGGCAUGGGAAAGACAACUCUUGCCAAUGCAGUGUACAAAAAGAUUAGAGCACAAUUUGAUUGCUAUGCUUUUGUUUCUGUUUCUCAAACUCCUGACCUGAAGAGAUUAUACAACGGCUUGCUAUAUGAUCUUGGCAAGAGCAUCAAUGAGGAAACAUUGGGUGAGAGGCGGCUCAUAGAAGUACUCAGAGAAUUCCUUGAAGACAAAAGGUAUCGAAAGCAUUCCUUUCGCCAAUUUAUACAUUUGAACUUUUUUUACUGAUAAUUUAUACCCUCCGUUCACAAUACUAUAAGUCUACAUAGGGUUAAUUAAAUGUUCGUGGCACCUAUUAAAUUACAAAAUACAGCCACUUAAGCUUUACCACAGCAUUAUUAAGUGCAAAUAAUUUCCUCACUGGACCUCGUUUAGUUUUGACAAAAUUCUGAGUUGACUUAUUUUAUCCACAGACUUGCCAAUUCAGCUGCCCCCGAGCUAUUUUAGUUUAAUCAUUAAACCAUUAGCAGUGGUCUAGUUUGCUUAAUUUUCUUGUAGCUGGUACAUGAACAACAUUAGAGCUUUCUUCAGUCCUUAAACCACUAUUUCUGACUAAUAACUUGGCAUAUGUGUAGGUAUUUUGUUGUUGUUGAUGACAUAUGGGAUAUAUCAGUUUGGAAAAUGAUUAGAUGUGCUUUGCCUGAUAAUGAUGUUGGAUACACUAUUAUUACAACCACCCGUAUUUCUCAUGUUGCUGAACAAGCUGGGGGUGCUUACAACAUGAAACCUCUUUCUUUGAAUAACUCCCGAAAACUACUAUAUAGAAGAAUAUUUGGUAGUGGGAAUAAAGACAACAAUGAAACAGAAGAAAAAUGUCAUAAGGAGAUGGCCGAAGUAUCUGACAGAAUACUGAAAAAAUGUGCUGGUGUGCCAUUGGCUAUAAUUACGAUGGCUAGUUUACUAGCUUGCAAAGCAAGAAAUAAAAUGGAGUGGUAUGAGGUGUACAAUUCUGUUGGUACUGGUCUGGAAAACAAUCUAGAUGUGGAGAAUAUGAGAAAGAUUUUAUCAUUUAGCUAUUAUGAGCUACCAUGCUAUUUAAGGGCUUGUUUGUUAUAUUUGAGCAUGUUUCCUGAAGAUUAUGAAAUUGGGAAGGAUCGUUUGAUAAGGAUGUGGAUAGGUGAAGGUUUUAUCCAAUGUGAAAAAGUAGGGAAGAGCCUAUUUGAACUCGGAGAGAGUUAUUUUAAUGAGCUUAUAAACAGAAGCAUGAUCCAACCAAUAUAUGAUAGUAAAAAUGAUAUGAUAUCAAGCUGUCGUGUACAUGAUAUGGUGCUUGAUCUUAUCCGCUCCUUGUCAAGUGAAGAAAACUUUGUUACUAUACUAAGUAAUAUGGGAGGCACAUCUCCAUCAAAUACGAUUCGGAGGUUGUCCCUUCAGAAUGGUCAGGAAAGUCAUGUGAUGGCUCAAGCUACAUGGAGCUUGCAACAUACAAGGUCAGUUUUUGUCUUUCCAACUUCUAUUUCUCCAGUGCUACCUCUUGACUACUGCCGAGUUUUACGUGUUCUGGAUUUAGAAGGCUGCAAUCUUUCACAAGCUAAUAGUAUCCUUAAGUGCCUUGGGAAUAUACAUCACUUGAGGUACUUGGGACUUCGUCGGACAGGUAUUUCUCAGCUCCCAGAAGAAAUAGGAAACCUGCAGUUUCUACAAAUAUUGGAUGUAAGGCGCAACAAUAUUUUCAGGUUGGCUUCGAGAGUUGUCCAGCUAAGAAAGUUGAUGUACCUAUACAUUGACCGGUCUACAACAGUUCCAAACGGAAUUGGAAAUCUGACAUGCCUUGAACAGCUGUCAUGGUUACGCAUUAAUGACUCCACUAGAAACAUUAUACAAGAGUUGGGCCAGCUAACUGAACUGAGGCAGUUGUCCAUUGAAUUGGACAAGUGGAACGACAAGCUGUUGGAGUGCCUAUGCAAGCUACAAAAGAUGCAGGAACUAGUUAUCACGGUCCGUCAUGGUCAACGCAGCAUCGGCAGAUUGGAUGCUUGGGUCGCCCCUCGACAUCUCCGCGUAUUUCAAUCACCAGACAACUGUUGGUUUUCAACACUGCCAGCUUGGGUGAAUCCAUCGCUUCUUCCGGACCUGACCUUCCUAUCCAUCGACGUGAGGGAGCUACAUCAGGUUGAUCUCGAAAUCCUCGGGAGGUUGCCAGCUCUCCGCUUUCUUUCUCUGAAGAUGGACAACAAGAACCUUGGUAUCCUUGCAGGAUUCGUUGUUGGUGCUGGUGCAUUCCCGUGCCUUGUAACCUGUUACUUCUGUCAAUUUGUGUGGCCAGUGGUAUUUCAACAGGGAGCUAUGCCAAGGGUCAGAGAGCUUGUGAUCUGGCGGUUUUAUCUGCGGGAGGCAAGAGGAAUUGCCUGCACCGAUGGUAGUCUCGACUUGGGCAUGGGAAACCUGCCGUCGCUGCAAUAUGUCAAGGCUGACCUGCGAUGUGAUGGUGCUGGCAAGGAGGAGGCAGAGCAAGCCAAGGCUGCGCUGACGCAUGCAGCUCAAAUGCAUCCCAAUCAUCCCUUACAUUUGAUCCAUAUUACAGGUGCGCCAGCUCCUGAUUGUUAUUCCUUACUUCUCUCCUUCCCCUUUCUUCUAAACUGUAUUUGCGUUUAUUCCUCUGUUUGAGAUGGUCGAUCUCCAGCUGAUCUUUCACCACGCCUUUCUUCUAGCCCCUAUGCCUCAACUCUUCUAAUCUUCCUUUGGUAUAUUUCGGUCUGAUAUACAGAUCACGACUACUAUAAGACACUAUGCCGGAAGCUGGACCGGAGCAGAGCAGAUGUUUCGCCACGCAUGCAGAGGUUAAACUGCUCGGCCUUAGCUUUACCAGACACCCUCAACCUGCGAGUAAACAAUGAAUACUGCACACAUGCGUCUGUGACUUAGAGCUUUGAUCAUUUGUGCUGUAAUCCCUGACUAACUUCCCCCUCUGUUACAACUUACAAGAACUGUAAAGAAAAAAUAGAAACGCAGUUAACAUCACAUACAAUGAAUCACAUCCCAUCAACAGAUAUUUGUCUAAGCUUCUCUUCAUCUCCACUACGGCAUUGCACCCCGCAGCCUUCUACACACGACGUCUAUGUUUUUUGUCGUGUGAUUCUAUAAUGGAUGAAGAACUGGUUACAGGUGAUCCUCGGAAGGUCACUUGACCUUUUCCUUAAGGCCCGUCGAAUGAAUUUGUCCGCGUGCUCCCUCGACCACGCGUCCACGUCCAUCCCGGCCGGCGAUCACCAGUCAUAAUAAGCUGAUUAGGCUGAUAGCUAUAUGAUUGAAGCAGCGGCAGCACAAACUCGGGUGUGGGACGGACUCUGUUAUCGAGCGUCAAGCAUCAUCGUUUACAUGUUGUUCAGAAUUCAGUCAUAUGGUUCAGUUCACUUCUUGGUUGUCAGGUAUUUCAGGGAGCCAAAAGCUGACUAGACUCACUGAUGAAACAUGCAUGCAUAGUGCCAUUGGUUCACUGAUAGAGAACUCACCUUCCAUGCGCUCCCUUUUAUCCCGGUUUAAAGUUGAUCCGGGACAAAGGGGGACGCCAUGGUAGGUUCAAAUGGGGCGGAGCUUUAGUUCCGGUUGGUAUUUUCAACCAGGACUAAAGCUCCCCUUUCCUUUAGUCCCGGUUGUAACGGCUAGUUACCAACCACCGAUGGCGCCCCCCUUUUAUCCUAGUUGGCUUCCAACCGGGACAAAAGUGCCACCCUUUUGUCCCGGUUGGAGUUACCAACCGGAACAUUCCAACGGGGAUAAAAGGGUGAAGCUUUUAUCCCGGUUGGAAGCUCCAACCGAGAUAAAAACUCAUCCCCUAUAAAAUCGCAAGACAGAGACCUUUCUUCCUCCUCCAUCCCGAGCCACUCCACUCCACAAAGACAAAGGGCUCAUCCUGUCCAUGGCGCCGAAGCAAGCCUAGGGGAGGUGCUGCCGAAUUUUUCUCGAAGCAAUGGAUGUAUAACGUGGACAGAUGGAGCAUGAAGUUUGUUGAUGGCUUGCAUUAUUUUCUCGAAGUGGUCAAAACGAACAAGCCAGAGAACGGGUUCAUAUGUUUUCCAUGCUUCCAAUGUAGUAACAAGGACUUUUACAUGCACUUGUUUAGAUACAGUUUCAUGCCUAACUAUUUGGUUUGGACCAAGCAUGGCGAAAGAAGGGUUGUAAUUGAAGAUGACAUUCCAGACUGGGCUGCAGGCCAAACUUUUGCAGAUACUACAAUAGGCGAGGUUGAUGAAGAUAAGUUUGCAGAAGACGGCCCUACUGAUGUCACACCAGAUUUUAAGGACAAAGUUAAGUGCAUUAAAUACAUGUGCGCCAGGAUCAAGUUACACACAUAUACGACAUAAGUGAAUAACAAAGACAGUGCCAUAACGAAAUAAAGAGAGUAUUAACCAUUAUUACAUGAUAAGUUACACACAUAUACGACAUAAGUGAAUAACAAAGACAGUGCCAUAACGAAAUAAAGAGAGUAUUAACCAUUAUUACAUGAUCGAAAGUCUCAAAUAAACUACAAAGUUUAAUUAUUACGCAGCGGAAGUCCAAAAGUAGCGACGGCUCCACAGGCAGCUGACUGAAGAACUAUACGCCUAGAACUCCUCGAAGUCUGGAAACUCCUCCAGAUUCACUUGGUCUGAACAGUGGUUUUGCAACGGUGAGUACACUUAUGGUUGGUAGUCAACAAGUCGUGGAGAACAGUGUAGUGUAAGGCUACCCAAGGUAUGUCUAAGGCAUAAUCAGCAUUAGCUUUUAAAUUAGUUGGUCAAGUUUUAGUAGCAUUUAACUAAGUGUAAGUUUAUACCACCCAAAAUGAAACAAGAACAUGAAUAAAAUAAUAACAUAACCAUAAAUGAAACAACAACAAUUUAAGUCCAUCAUUCGAUAAUAUUAUCAUGUGAGGGUUCAAGCCGCUCUUAACUAUGAGCACGGCUGAUCGAUCAGUUUUACACUCUGCAGAUGUUGCACAACUUUACCCACCUGUCGUGUAAAAGUUAAAAAGAACUUUGGACACAACCAUGCGGUGUCUGCAAGGCACCAUACCACACUUCCGAGGUGUGAUUGCAUAGGGACGCUACGAGGCCUUUACAAAGAUUCGCUAAUAAAAAGUAGCCCGCUAAGAUUUCCCCCCUAAUUUGCAACUGAAUUGCCUACCACUAUUAUUUAAAAAACUUAAAGUAACCCCUUAAUUUUGCAUCUAUAUUACCCACACAUGCCAUUAUUAAAAAUAACAUAAGGUAACCCUAUGUUUGAAUCAAAUAACCUUAAUUAAAAUAUACAGUAAUAUAUGAUUCUAAAUCAUCUAUAUCUUGCACUAUUGGUAUACGAUAUAAUAAUUAAGGUCUAUACACAUGAUGUGUGUCACCAUUUAUAAGGAUAUAUAAAGUGAUGAGAGUAUAGAUUUCUAUGCUAAAAUUGUAUCUCAAACUUAGGGUUCAUUAAACAAAUUUAAGCGCAUACCUGCGAUGCAAAGUGAAAAGUUAAAUAUUAUAAAUGUGGAUAAAAAUAUUAUAGAGUAAUUACUAACUAAAAUCUAUCACAAUUGGAUGAAGAUAUUAAGUAUAUAUCUCCAUAAGUAUUGUGUUCUAAUAUUUAACAAACGAGACAUAGCUUAUGGUAAUAGUUUUGUAGCAAUGUAGUCUCAUUUUUUUUCCAUUAGAGACUCUGCAUUAGUUCCCACAACACAAGCUAUAAAAAAGAGACAAAUUCUCAUAAAAAUUAAAAACAUCAAACACUAAUCAUUUAAACUCUAAUAAUCAUAGCCAUUGAUGUAUUAUAUUUUUUAAAAAGUUACCCACCACUGUCAUUGUGAAAAUAUUUAAAAAUAAGCUCUAAACCUAUUUUUAAUUUACCAAGCUUAGCUAUUAUAAAAAAUAAUUUAAAUAACCCCAUAAUCUUCAUCCAAUUUACUAAUACACAUCAUUAUAAAGAAUAACUUAAAAUGUCAUUCUAAAAUUUUAUCUAUGUUACCCGUGUAUGUCGUUAUUAAAAAUAACCUCAAGUAAACACCUAAAUCUUAAUCUAAUUAUCUUCAUGUGCAUCAUACAGAAAUAUCGAAAAGUAAACUAAUAUAUGAUUCUAAAUUAUCUAUUUAUGUCAUUGCAAUAUAAAAUACUAAGUUAAAGUAUAUACACAUGAUGAGUGCCACCGUUUAGACCAUUUAUACAUGUAUGUGAGGAAUCAAUAAAAAAUAUUGAUUUGUAUGCUAAACAUAAUGUAUGGAGGAUUGGAGGUGAGAUACAAAAUGGAAAAUGUAUGAAUAUGGAUGAAAAAAUCAAUCAGAACUGGACAAAGAUAGUUACAUAUCUAUAUAAGUAUUAUGUUGAAGUAUUAAAAAUAAGAGAGUAGUAGGUAAACAAUUUUGAUUAUUAGCUAGGAAUUUAAUUUCUAAAUAAUUUUCAAAUACAAUAGCUUCUAAAAAUAUUAGCCCGUACGGGAGCAUGGGUUGAUGGACUAGUAAUUUCUAAUAGCUAGGGUAAAAUACCAAAACACAAAAAAAUGAAAUUGUUUUCAAGAUUGGUCGACUUUUCUGUGAAUCAUUAUAUUACACGUGCCAUGUGUUUCUUCUCAGCGUGGUCUCAUGAUUUUCGACAAGCUAAACCUUACAGGUGGUCUUUUCUUAUUUCGUGUCAUAAAAAAGAAAAUAAAGAUAACGCAAGAAAAUGGAAUUAAUUCCAAGAUCGGUUGAAUUUUGUGUGAAUCAUUUACAUGCACAGAUGUGCCAUGCGUUUCUUCUUCUCAGUAACAUGGUGAUCUUCUGAUCGCUGGAGGGAUUCCUUGCUGCGUGUACACACAACACAAGACCACCAGUUCACGCAGUCACCAUUGCCAUUAGCUUGGUUCACCAGUUCACGCAUGCGCGCAACUGAUGGUGCAGGAUGACCAAGGAGGCAUGGUUUACUAGUUGCUGGGUCUUUCUUUGGGAUUUCAAACUUCAAACUACUUUUUCUCCCAAAUCAAAAAUUUAUUUUUGAAUCCGUUUGUAACACCCAAAAUUUUAGAGAAUUCAAAUUCAUUAAAACUUGCUCAAAAUAGGGUGUCAUUUAAAUUCUAGGCAUUUAAUUUCAUUUUCUUUAAUUUAAUUAAUUCAUCGUAGGAGUUAUUUGGGUGUGACACAAGGCUAUUAUAUAUACUCCCAAAGUCUUGGAUGUCACUGAGUAACAUGUAUUUCUCUUGCAAGCAGCUGUGCACAUUAGCCAGAGAACUCUGAAGUGUUGGAGGAAACCAAAUUACUAUGAUGAGUCUUGACUUGUGUAGCCAAAUGCAUCCGCCGUAACUCGGCAAGCUUGAUGGCCAUCUUCCGCCCGUUUAAAUCAUUUUUUCGCAAUUAUCUACUCUCAGCAGAGUAAACAAACCUGUUUAGCCCACAAACACUUCUACAUACGAUGGUACGUGUCAUUAUGGCGGGUGCCUUUUAUUGUAUCUAAAGUUGCAUUAAACAACGGCACCAAGCCCAUGGUAUCUAAUUGGUGCCGGCGGGUAUGAUGGAUUUCUGGUCUCACGGCUUGACGAAUAAACUGGAGGAGAAACCCGCCAUUAAGCAUUUACUCCUGCUUGUAUGGUUUGGUUAAGUUUUAGAUGCCGGUUCUUACGGAUAGGAGGGAUUCAUACUCACAUUCCUGAGGUGCUCUGAUAUCUUCAUAGGAUAAUGUUAAAUGUUACAACAUUGCAUCGAAAAUGAAGAUUUGAUGAGCGCAAGUAUGGAUGCACAUUUUCUUUUUAGAAACUAAGCAUUGCAUGUGGCGUUUUCUUGUUUCCUGUCAUAAAAAAGAAAAUAAAAAUAACAAGACAAAUUGAAAUUAAUUUCAAGAACAUUCGAAUUUUGCGUGAAUCAUCAUGUUUCACGGUCCAUGUGCUCGCAUGAUUUUUACGUGAAUUGGCAGCAUAAUUUCUAUAUAAUAGCUAGGGUAAAAUACCAAAACACGGAAAAAUGAAAUUGAUUUCAAGAUUAGUCAACUUUUCUGUGAAUCAUUAUAUUACACGUGCCAUGUGUUUCUUCGCAGCGUGGUCUCAUGAUUUUCGACAAGCUAAACCUUACAUGUGGUCUUUUCUGAUAUCGUCUCAUGAUCUAUUUUCCAUUCCGGCGGUCUGUGUGCACGGACUUCGCUGGAAGAGCAGGCCUCCGAAGCUGCGUCCUUCACCAGAGACUCUACACCCGAGGAGUAGAAGGCCGAUCAAGUUUUUAGGGAGCGCGUCUGUGUCACUGCUCAUCGUUCGUCUACGACUACUUCCUAGAGGUACAAUUGCACUGCAAACAUCUGCACGGCAUCGAGUUCUGAUCGACUACAUCGAAUAAGCUCAACUAGCAAUGUUGGGUAAUGGCGCAUCUGGUUCCUCAGGAACUGGCUCCGCCUCAGGGUACUUCCUUAUGAACUUCUUGGUUUAAUUCUUACAGUUCAUAGUAUCCAUUGCAUGCUUUAUGUUCACUGCAAAUAAAAUAGUAUGCUAUCUUUAUUGUCAUGUUUCAUUUUAUAUUCGGAUUAAACUGAACCGCAAAUUGUCUCUAAUUCCAACAUUGGCAGCAUAAUUUCUAAUAACUAGGGUAAAAUACCAAAACACGAAAAAAUGAAAUUGAUUUGAAGAUUUGUUACUUUUCUGUGAAUCAAUUACACGUGCCAUGUGUUUCUUCUCAGCGUGGUCUCAUGAUUUUCAAAAAGCUAAACCUUACAGGUGGUCUUUUCUUAUUUCGUGUCUAAAAAAGAAAAUAAAGAUAACCCAAGAAAAUGGAAUUAAUUCCAAGAUCGGUUGACUUUUGUGUGAAUCAUUUACAUGCACAGAUGUGCCAUGCAUGCGUUUCUUCUUCUCAGUAACAUGGUGAUCUUAUGAUCGCUGGAGGCACUACCGGAAACAGUAAGGUUGCCGAGUGUCUGAGGCACUCGGCAAAGGCCGAAAAACUCUCGGCAAAGAGUUCGCCGAGUGUAACACUCGGCGAACGGCACUUGGCGAACUUUCCUACGGCAAACGUGGAGUUGCCGAGUGUCGAACAUCGAGCACUCGGCAAAUAAUUUGCCGAGUGUCAAAAAGCACUCGGCAAACAUUUUCGGAAAAAAAAAAACCGCCGGCCGUCGGCCGCCGGCCACGGCCACGGCCACCACGCCGCCACCGGCUGCCUACGCCGCUGCCGCCCGCCCGCCGCCGCCCGCCCGCCGCCGCCCGCCCGCCGCCGCCCGCCGCCACGCGCCAGAUCCGGAGGGGAGAGAGGUGGGGGCCGCCGGAUCCGCGCCGGAGGGGAAGAAGGGGGCGCGGAUCCGGCCGGUGGGGAGUGAGCCGAGGAAGGAGAGGCCGGAUCCGGAGGGGAAGAAGGGGGCGGCGGCGGGCGGGGGCGGGGGCGGGGGCGGACGCCGGGCGGCGGUGGGGCCGGGGGCCGGGCACCGGGCGGCGGGGCGGGGGGCGCCGGGCGGCGGGCCGGGGAGCGCCGGGGGCGGGGGGAGAGAGCAAGAUCUGAGGAGGAGAUAGUGGCGGAAGAGAUAAGGCCGGUGCGGUGCGGGCCGGGAUAAGGCCGGCUUGCGGUUGGAAAAAAAAAACGGUCGCCGAGUGUCCUAGGGUGACACUAGGUGAACGGUUGUUUGCCGAGUGUCUACCCUAGGACACUCGGCAAAGAUAUUUUAAAAAAAAUUUAAAAAAUAUCUAACAGUUUUAAAAAAUUGUCAAAAAUUUACAUGAAAUAAUAUAUAUUCUCUAUUAACUAUACAAAAAGUUUUGUAGUCAAAUCAAAACUCAACCGUCAUUUUGACUCCAAAUCUUAUGCAAUCCUUGUCAACGUUACUAUUCUUCUUCUGAAAUGCUUCGGUUUGUAAACAUCGUACGUAAUGAAAUAUGCAAAACAUUCUCAAUUUUUUUUCCACAGCCUCCACCUAUGAUAUUAUCACAUCAUGACAAAUCUCAUGAUUUUCAGACUUUGCUUGUUUUUUUAUAAUUUAAAAAUACCACUGCCACACGUUCGUGGUCGUGUUUCCUGAACAAGAUGUUCGAAAUUUCUUGUCAUUUCAUGGGUCAGGUCUCAAAUUGGGCCGAAUAACAUGAAUAUCAUUUUUCUACUCAUUUUGUUCCAUAAUUUCAAUCAAUUGCAGUUCAAAUUUGACUUAUACCAAAAAUUUCCUUGAAAUGCAAUUAAUUAAAUAAAUAUAGCAAAUAAAUCCAAAAAUAUACCAAAUUUUAACAUGGAGUACCACAUGUUGUAUGUGGGGAGUAGAAAAAAUUUCAUGGUGAAAAGAGGAAAAAAAUUAUUUUUUUGCCGAGUGUCAAAAAAAACACUAGGCAAACCCCCCCUAUUUGCCGAGUGUUUUUUUGACACUCGGCAAACCCCUCUCUUUGCCGAGUGUUUUUUUUGACACUCGGCAAAGAGGGGGGUUUGCCGAGUGUCAAAAAUAUACUCCGCAUAAAGCGGGGUUUGCCUAAUGUUUUAUUAAAAACUCGGCAAAAAAUAGAUUUUGACCUGGCCGGGGAGUUUUUAUUUGCCACUCGGCAAAGCCCCAAUUUCCCGAGUGUAUUUUUUUUCCCGAGUGUUUUUGAGCUUGGCACUCGACAAAGAGCUUGUUUGCCGAGUGCUCGCAAAAAAACACUCGGCAAAAAAAAUACACUCGGCAAUUUUUAGCUUUCCCGUAGUGAGGGAUUCCUUGCUGCGUGUACACACAACACAAGACCACCAGUUCACGCAGUCACCAUUGCCAUUAGCGCCGUCCUUUGCGACGUGAACGCAAGACAGGGUGAUCAUGACUCAUAAGGAGGGUCAGGGUCACGGAUGUUAGUUGUAGACUUACCCACCACGUUGACGACGAAGAAUCCUUUUAAUUAUUCCAGGGUGGCAACUGGCAAAGCCCGACGAGGCUUACUAAAGCAUCCGUGUGUAUACCAUCAGUUAAUCUCAUUUCUCAAUUUCCUUCAGGUCACAUGACGUUGGCACCCGGUAAAAUGAAACACUGAUGCAUCGUGAAAAGAGCUCAUGGUUCCGGAAUGAGCAGUUUGUUGGAUGACUUGCACUGCUUACAAGAGUGUUAUGAAUAAACACUCCCAUGCCUUGGAUGCCAUUCAAAAUGUUACCAAACAUAUGUAGAGUAACCUGCGUUUCUCUUUCAAGCAGCUAUUUAUGAAGUAUUGGAGGAAACCAAAUUACAUGCUUUCACUUGUGUAGCUGAAUGCAUCCAUGACAAUUCGACGAGUCAUAUUAGCAUAUUCUUCCUUACUUCCUUACUCUGCCCUAUUGAAAUAUUUCUCUCACAGUCUGCUAAAAAAUUAGGGCCAACAAACACUUCUAUAUAAGAUGGCGCGAGCCAUAACAGUUGGUGUGGUAACUGUAUCAAAGCUUGCACUAAACGCUGGAAUUUGGCCCAUGGUGCUAAUAGUAUACAUGAUCGUGACGGGUACGGAUGGUCAUGAUGUAUUUGAGAAAAGAGCGUCUGGUUCUUGCUGACUUCGAUCGAUGGCAUGAUCAAUGACAUGAUCAAGUUUGCUACCUAGCUGGAUCUGGAUAAGAGCACAUGUGUAAUGUGGUGGUGCGGCACCAAAGUGUGGUGCUCGUUGUCAACCAAGCCAUCAAUCAUGGUUUUUUUAAAAAAAAAUGUCGGAUACAAGAACUUUUGUAUCUGUCUGACCUUGUUCAUCUUCACUAGACAUCACAACCAGCUACACAUGCAAACUAGAUAAUGCAAUCUUCUAUAUUAUUACUAAUCAGACUCAUUUUGGAGCCUCCAUGUCAACACUCAUGAGAUGCGCUAGAAAAAAAAAGAUAAAUCCUUGAAAUUCACAUAAAAAUAAAAUAUAAAAUAUGAUCACGUUUAUACAUAUAUAGUGGCAUAAGUUUAGCCACUUCUUAGUUUUCUUCGCUUCAUGUCUCACACGACAUUGCUGGCACCAAGCAAACAGAACACUGAUGACUAAUAGAUGAACAUUGUAAAGUGAACUCACGAUCCGGAGUGCACUCAUGAUAGAUGAAGGAUGCAUGAACAGUUAUUGGACGACUUGCAGCAACGGUUACAUGCUUGCAAGCUAGAUAAAUACCAAAGACUGUCAUAUAUACUCUCAUUCCUUUGCUGCCGUUCAAAUGUUACACGGUAGUAUAGUAUUAAGAGAAACUUGUGUGCAGGAUCUUUUUUUUUUGCAACUUGUAAGAACUAAGAACUAUGAACUUUGUUUGAUCUGAUCUUUGGUCAACCAUCACCUUUGGUCUGAACUUUUUUACCGGCGGCAGCACAAACUUGGGAGGGACUCUGCGGCGGAGCAUCAACCAUCACCUUUGAUCUGAUCUUCAGAGUUCAGUCAUAUAUAUAGUUCAGUUAACUUAAUGGUUAUGAGUCUGAAGGAAAACCGCAAUUAUUUUACAUUUUGAUAUCGCCAAACUCCUGCCAAAUGCCUAAUCCCUUUCAAAUGAUGAUAAAUAUUUUCAUUUCAGGGCGGCAAAAUCUGAAGAGGCUCACUGUAUAUUGUACAUUAGUGCUACUAUCAGUUCAGCACCUUCUUCAUUUCCUUGAGGUCACACCACAUUAGUACCAGCAAUCAAAACACUUACGCAUCGUCAGAUCAACUCAUGGCUGGUGAAUGAUCCAUGAACAAUUGUUGGAUGACUUUGCAUCAACGGAUGCAUGCUUAUAUUACAAGCCAGAACCAUGCUCAAGACUGUCAUACUAUCAUAUAUAUACUCCUGUGGCUUGGAUGCCAUUCAAAAAUGCUGCAAGAGGUAGAGCAACUUGUAGUUCUCUGUCGAGGUGUAAACGAGCUGUGUAUAUUGGGAGGGACCUCUGAAAUAUUGGGUUGACUACCGGAAACAGGAAAGUUACCGAGUGUAAAAUCUUUACCGAGUACUUUUUGUCGGGCACUUGGCAAACACCUCGUUUGCCGAGUGUAUAGGCGCGGACACUCGGCAUACACAAUGCACUCGGCAAACAACAGAUUUGCUGAGUGUCGUGGAAAACACACUUGGCAAAAAUCCAACCGACACUCGGCAACAAUUUGACACUCGGUAACUCUCCAGCACGUGGAUCGCACGUGCGCCGUCCGUUAGGGCAGUGUGCUGGCCAUUAGUACUUUGCGGAAUGUCCGUUACCGACACUCGGCAAAGUUAGAGGUUGCCGAGUGCUUCCUCUAGACACUCAGCAAACUUAGAGUUUUGCCGAGUGUUUUCCACCGCCACUUGGCAAACAUAGAGUUUUGCCGAGUGUUUCUGUUGGCACUCGGCAAAGACAAAACUUUCUUUUUCACAUCUGCCCUCCACACUUUUUCUACUCCUCGCAUACGACAUUUGGUACUGCAUGUUAAAAGUUGGUCUAUUUUUUGGUUUGUUUGCUAUUUUUAAUGAAUUAAUAUCAAUAAUAGGAAUUUGUUGAUUUAAGUCAAAUUUAACUGCAAGUGAUUGAAAUAAUGGAAUAAAAUUAGUGAAAAAAUCAUAUUCAUGUUAUUGAAUCCGGAUUGAGGUCUCAAUCAGGAAAUGAAAAGAAAUUUUGAACAUUUAUUUUAGAAAACAUUACCACGAACGUGUGGUUGAAUGGUUUUUAAAUUCUAAAAAAAGCAAACGAAGUGUGAAAAUUACAAGAUUUGUCAAGAUGAAGCUACUCCUGUGAGUCACUUUUCAACCAUACAAUCAAUUUAUAAUUAAACUAGAAAGUACGGGUACUAGAAACUUAUAAUAGAAAAGUGACUAAUGCAAUCUCUUUAACUUUGUGCAGAAUCAAUCGGCAGCAUCCAAUGCUUUCUUGGAGCCAUCAUCUUGGUCGCAGUGGUCACCUACACAUCCUCCUCAGUGACUUGUUUGAACGGCUAGUGUGUUAAGCAAACUUGUGAAUUACUUGUUUAGACUAGAACCUAUAUGUACUUGUGAAUGUUAUUUGUGUGCUUGUGAUGCUUGUGAUGCAAUCUAUAUGCCUGUGAUGCAAUUUAUAUGCAUGUGAUGCUUCUGUGGUUGUUAUUUGAGAGGGGUCCUUUAUAUGUAACGAAUCUGUUUUGCAGGUAGAGGAAGGACACUUUGCCGAGUGUUAACACUCGGCAAAGAGGUCAAUUUCUAUUAUUCUGGGACUACUUUGCCGAGUGUUUUUGUUACAACACUCGACAAGGCGCCAUAAAAUGCUGGCGGUAGCAGCUUCUUUGCCGAGUGCCUUGCCAACGACACUCGGCAAAGUUUAAAAGUUUGCCGAGUGUCAUGAGUACGGCACUCGGCAAAAUAUAAAUCUUCGCCGAGUGUCGAGUAGACAGCACUUGGCAACAUGGAAAUAUUCGUCGAGUGUCGGGGAGGAGGCACUCAGCAAAAUAUAAAUCUUUGCCGAGUGUUCUUCCGUCUGACACUCAGCAACAACUCCGUUACCGUGACAUUCCGUGAACACCUUUUUGCCGAGUGUUUGGUUUUGUCGAGUGUUUUUUGGCACUCGGCAAAGUCUUUGCCAAGUGCCUGACGUUUGACACUCGGUAAAGAUACUGUUUGCCGAGGAAAAAUUCGCCGAGUCCUUUUCGCCGAGUGUUACACUCGGCAAACGCUUUGCCGAGUGUUUUUAGGCUUUCGCCGAGUGCGUAGGGCACUCGGUAAACUUACUGUUUCCGUAGUGGUUAUUGGAGGUAACCAAAAUAUCAUCCUCAGCUUUGACCUGUGUGGCUUAGUUCAUUCUAGGUAACUCAGCGGGCGACGUGGGCAUAUGGCUGUGGUAUCUGGUACUUCCGCUUGUUCGGCCGUUUUAAUGGAUUCACGAUAAGUUAUCUUCUCAUGGUCUUUGUCGAGUACAACUGAUGUAAAACGUCUGACACAGUGUAUUGAAGCGGUCGAUCCUCUCUCAUUCUGAUUGAACUCUUGGAGAUAGCAUACCAGUAGCAAAAAUUCCUUCUUUUUCAAAUUGAACAGCAAAAACAAAAAUGAUACUGUGACAGAUAAAGGACUUUGCAGGAACAGAGAUAUCAUCUGUCGUUCAGUCGUGGAACCGACUCAUGAUAGAUAAAGGACAUUGCAGGAACAGAGAGGGACAGAGCCCGUCUCUGCUAACACUUGCCAACCUCUGUGCUUUGCGCUGGUCUUCUCUAGUUUAGCCAAUCUUUUUUUUUUUUGCCUGAUGCAAAACUGACUAAACUCUCGGUGAAAGAAAAAUUAAGGACUUCCACGAAGCAGGACUCUCUGGGCCUAGCACAGGCCUAAACACCAAGCUGCUGAGCCCAAAUUUAUUCCGCCAAUGUCUCCAUGAUGUGCUUCCUGGUUAGGGGUCAAGAACUGUCCUUUAUGACUUGAUCCGAUGCCUCGAUGGUGUGGUUAGCGACUUUUGCCUGACAGACUGAACUAUGUAUGAAGAGACUACAUUUUCUUUCUUUUUAAAAAUAAAAAGCUGGACUUCACAGGUGGCUUGGUUGUUGUGCCUGCGCGUAUUCCUUCGCUAGGCACCGAAUUUGCUUGCAUUCAUAGAGCUUUCACUUGUGUAGCUGAAUGCAUCCACAACGACUCGGCGAGGCAUGUGGGCAUAUUGUUCUUUACUUUUGCCUAUUCAAUCAUUUCUCUCACGAUCCACUACAAAAAUCAGAGUCAACAAGAUCGCAUGAGUGAUAAUAGCGGACAUGGUUGCUCUAUCAUAGAUUGCACUAAACACUGGAAUACGUCAUAUCUUACUAUUACUAAUUGGAGGCUCCUUUUGAAGCCUCCAGGUGAAGCCACCUAGGAUUCCUAGGUGGACACCCUAGAAAUCCUAAAAAUUCUCACAAAAAAGCAAAACAUCCAACCAUCAAUUGAUAUAUUCAAAUCAUCACAGCCAUUGGAUCUAUUAUGUUUUUAAAAAAAUUACCCACCUAUGCCAUUAUGAAAAUAGCCUAAAGUAACCCCCUAAAUCUAUAUAUAAAUUACCCACCUCUACCAUUAUAUAAAAUAAACUAAAGUAACCCCUUAAUCUUCAUCGAAAUUACCCACUUAUGACAUUAUAAAUAAUAUUUAAAAUAACUCCCUAAUUUGCAACUGAAUUGCCUACCACUAUUACUUAAAGUAACCCAUUAAAUUUGCAUCUAUAUUACCCACACAUGCCAUUAUUAAAAAUAGCAUGAGGUAACCCUACGUUUUAAUCAAAUAACCUUAAUUAAAAAUAUACAACAAUAUAUGAUUCUAAAUCGUCUAUAUCUUACACUAUUGGUAUACGAUAUAAUAAUUAAGGUCUUUACGUAUGAUGUGUGUCACCAUUUAUAAGGAUAUAAAGUGAUGAGAAUAUAAAUUUCUAUGCUAAAAUUGUAUCUCAAAAUUAGGGUUCAUUAAACAAAUUCUAGCGCAUAUCUGCGAUGCAAAGUGAAAAGUUAAAGAUUAUAAAUGUGGAUGAAAAUAUUAUAGAGUAAUUACUAACUAAAACCUAUCAUAAUUAGAUGAAGAUAUUAAGUAUAUAUCUACGUAAGUAUUAUGUUUGAAUAUGUAAGAAACGAGAGGUAGCUUAUGGUAAUAGUUUUGUAGCAAUGUAGUCUUAUUUUGUUCCAUUGGAGACUCUGCAUUAGUUCCCACGAGACAAGCUAGAAAAAAGAGAUCUAUUAUAUUUUAUAACCACGAGACAAGCUAGAAAAAAAGAGACAAAUUCUUAUAAAAAUUAAAAAACAUCAAACACCAAUUCUGUAAACUAUAAUAAUCAUAGCCAUUGAUCUAUUAUAUUUUCUAAAAAGUUACCCGACACUAUCAUUGUGAAAAUAUUCAAAAAUGAGCUCUAAACCUAUAUCUAAAUUAUCGAGCUCAGCUAUUAUAAAAAAUAAUCUAAAGUAACCCCAUAAUAUUCAUCCAAUUUGGUAAUACACAUCAUUAUAAAUCAUAACUUAAAAUGUCAUUCAAAAAUUUUAUUUAUGGUACCCACGAAUGUCGUUAUUAAAAAUAACCUAAAGUAAACACCUAAAUCUUAAUCUAAUUAUGUUCAUGUGCAUCAUACAGAAAUGUCAAAAAGUAAACUAAUAUAUGAUUCUAAAUUACCUAUUUAUGUCAUUGUUAAUAUAAAAAUACUAAGUUAAAGUAUAUACACAUGAUGAGUGCCACCAUUUGGACCAUUUAUGCAAGUAUGUGAGGAAUCAAUGAAAAAUAUUGAUUUGUAUGCUAAACAUAAUGUAUGGAGGAUUGGAGGUGUGAUACAAAAUAGAAAAAGUAUGAAUAUGGAUGAAAAAGUGCAUAGAGUAAUUAUUAAUUCAAAAUCAAUCACAACUGGAUAAAGAUAGGUAUAUAUCUAUAUAAGUAUUAUGUUGAAUUAUUGAAAAAUAAGAGAGCAGUAAUUAAACAAUUUGGAUUGUUAGCUAGAGUUUAAUUUCUAAAUAAUUUUUAAGUACAAUAGCUUUUAAAAAUAUUAGCCCGGGAGCACGGGUUGAUGGACUAGUGGUGCUAAUAGUAUACGUGUUUGUAACUGAUAUGGAUAGACAUGAUGUAUUAUUUGUUAAAAGAUCCUCUGGUUCUUGAAUAGUUGAUCAAUUACAUGAGUUUGCUACCUGGAUGUGGAUGACAACACAAGUGUAGUGUGGUGUCUAACUGUGGUGCUAGCAUGACAUGAUCAUGGUAGAUGAAUGAUCCAUGAAUAAUUGUUGCAUGACUUCCAUCAAUGAUCAAUGGAUGCAUGCAUAAAGCAACAAUACCAAAGACUAUCACACUAUCAUUUACCAUUCAAAAUGUUUCAAGAGGUAGACUUGUAGAACAACCUGUGUAUCUUGCUGUCAAGAUGUACUCUAAAGUAUUCAGCGACCAGCAAGCAUUGAGUUUGGUGGUUGUACCAGUAGGUGAGCGGUGGUGCAUUAUUACCUUCACCGUCCGCUUCCACAGAGCAUUGAGCUGGGUGGCUGCAGCAGCGACUUCGAAUCAAGGGAGCUUGGUCCGGCGACGAGCGGCGGGGAGCCUGCACCGGCGGCGACAAGGCUCCAUUGCGACCAGUACGUCCUUGCUCACGCAUUCUCGUUCUUUACAGCUACUAGGCCAGGAUCUUUUCUAGUAUUAAACUAGCCUAAGCAAGAAUACGUCUUCAACUCGAUUCGCAAGCCUGUGCACACACAUACAUGCAUCUCACUUUCUUGCGCUCAUCCAGGAGUGCUCAUCGGAGAAAUGGAGGUCAUGGCUGGGGCACUGCCAUGCGUCAUAAAAAAACUCGGUGAUAACUACUCACCGACAAGUUUAUACUACUCAAUUAACGUAUCCCAACUAAACUUUCUCCUAAACGAAGCAUUAAUUGGGUUAGUAAGCUGGCGAGAGCCGCUACGCGUCAUUCCACAUGCGAGCGGGCCCCACCAUGUGCGUCUCGUCCUCCACCUCUCACGCACCCUCUUCAACUGUCGGUGGAGCACCCUCUUCAACCUUCCCCCCGGGCAUCUGCAUCCCAUCGACCUCUGCUUCGUGCUCUUCAAUCUUCAAUCUUCUUCAUGCCCAUCCAUUCCCAAUAGGCAAUAGCUACAACCUACAAAAAGGCAGGGCGAGCACCCGCAUCCGAAGGAGCCCAAGCGGCCAUCCACAAAGAGGUAAAGAAGAUAUAUUAAUAUGAUUUCUGUCGUUAGCUUCUCUCCAAUUAACCUUACACAUUGGUCUUCCCCAGGGACAAAUCCAUGGAGAUCGUGACCGGGGCAAUUCCAAGCCUCCUGCACAAGCUCGGUGAGUUGCUAGUUGGCGAGUACAAUCUGCAAAAGGAGGUGAAGGGAGGGAUCAUCUUCCUUCAAGCUGAGCUCGAGAGCAUGCAAGGUGCCCUCGAGAAGAUCUCGAUGACACCAGCAGACAAGAUUGACGACCAGGACAAGAUCUGGGCUAGGAGAGUGAGAGAGAUGUCCUACGAUAUAGAGGACAAUAUUGACAAAUAUAUCGUGCAGUGCAAGGGGAGGAAGACGGCCGAACAGCAUAGCUUCAAGGAAGCCAUUGAUAGGACCCUCAACUGGUUCAGGCAGCCUAAGAUUCGUCGUAAGAUUGCUACAGAAAUCAGAGAGAUCAAGAGCCGUGUCAUAGAGGUGCAUGAACGGCGCCGCAGGUAUGAGGUCAGCCUUGGUGUUGAUAAGCCUGUAACUGUGGACCCUCGUUUAUUCGCUCAGUACACGGAGGUGAAAGAGCUUGUUGGAAUUGAUGAGGCAAGGGAUGAGUUAAUCAGCAAGAUUAUGAUAGAAGAGAAUGAAGUUCCCAAGAAGCAAGGCAGGAUAGUUUCAAUUGUUGGAUUUGGAGGUCUGGGAAAGACAACUCUUGCCAAUGUAGUGUACAAAAAGAUUAGAGCACAAUUUGAUUGCUAUGCUUUUGUUUCUGUUUCUCAAACUCCUGACCUGAAGAAACUGUACAAAUGCUUGCUAUAUGAUCUUGGCAAGAGCAUCAACGAAGAAACAUUGGAUGAGAGGCGACUCAUAGAAGCACUCAGAGAAUUCCUUGAAGACAAAAGGUACGAAAGCAUUCCUUUCACCAAUUUAUACAUAUGAACUUUUUUGGACUGAUAAUUUAUGCCCUCUGUUCACAGUACUAUAAGUCUAAAUAGGGUUAAUUAAAUGUUCAUGCACGUGGCACCUAUUAAAUUACAAAAUACAACCACUUAAGCUUUACCACAACAUUAUUAAGUGCAAAUAAUUUCCUCACUGGACCUCGUUUUGUUUUGACAAAAUUCUGAGUGGACUUAUUUUAUCCACAGACUUGCCAAUCCAGCUGCUCCCGAGCUAUUUUAAUUUAAUCAUUAAACCAUUAGCAGUGGUCUAGUUUGCUUAAUUUUCUUGUAGCCGGUAUAUGAACAACAUUAGAGCUUUCUUCAGUCCUUAAACCACUAUUUUUGCUAAUAACGGCAUAUGUGUAGGUAUUUUGUUGUUGUUGAUGACGUAUGGGAUAUAUCAGUUUGGAAAAUGAUUAGAUGUGCUUUGCCUGAUAAUGAUGUUGGAUAUACUAUUAUUACAACAACCCGUAUUUCUGAUGUUGCUGAACAAGCUGGGGGUGCUUACAACAUGAAACCUCUUUGUUUGAAUAACUCCCGACAACUAUUGUAUAGAAGAAUAUUUGGUAAUGGGAACAAAGACAACAAUGAAGAAGAAGAAAAAUGUCCUCAUGAGGAGCUGGCCGAAGUAUCUGACAGAAUACUGAAGAAAUGUGCUGGUGUGCCAUUAGCUAUAAUUACGAUGGCUAGUUUGCUAGCUUGCAAAGCAAGAGAUAAAAUGGAGUGGUAUGAGGUGUGCAAUUCUGUUGGUACUGGUCUGGAAAACAAUCUAGAUGUGGAGAAUAUGAGAAAGAUUUUGUCAUUUAGCUAUUAUGAGCUACCAUGCCAUUUAAGGGCUUGCUUGUUAUAUUUGAGCAUGUUUCCUGAAGAUUAUAUAAUUGAGAAGGAUCGUUUGAUAAGGAUGUGGAUAGGUGAAGGUUUAAUCCAAUGUGAAAAAGUAGGGAAGAGCCUAUUUGAACUCGGAGAGAGUUAUUUCAAUGAGCUUAUAAACAGGAGCAUGAUCCAACCAGAAUAUGAUCUUGAUGACAUAAUGAUACAAGGUUGUCGUGUACAUGAUAUGGUGCUUGAUCUUAUCCGCUCCUUGUCAAGUGAAGAAAACUUUGUUACUGUACUAAGUGAUAUGGGAGGCACAUCUCCGUCAAAUACGAUUCGGAGGUUGUCCCUUCAGAAUGGCCAAGAAAGUCAUGUGAUGGUUCAAGCUACUUUCAGCAUGAAGCAUGCAAGGUCGGUUGUUGUCUUUCCAGCUGCUGCUUCUCUAGUGCCGCCUCUUGACUGCUGCCGAGUUUUACGUGUUCUGGAUUUAGAGGAUUGCAAUCUUUCACAAGCUAAUAGUAGCCUUAAGUACCUUGGGAAUCUGCAUCACUUGAGGUACUUGGGACUAUUUAAGACAGGUAUUUCUCAGCUCCCGGAAGAAAUAGUAAACCUGCAGUUUCUACAAACAUUGGAUGUAAAGCACAACAAAAUUUCCAGGUUGCCCUCGAGUAUUGUCCAGCUAAGAAAGUUGAUGUGCCUAUACAUUAACUGGACUACAAUAGUUCCAAAUGGAAUUGGAAACUUGACAUGCCUUGAACAGCUGUCAAGGUUACGCAUUAAUGACUCCACCAGAAACAUUAUAGAAGAGUUGGACCAGCUUACUGAACUGAGGCAGCUAUCCAUUCAAUUGGACAAGUGGAACGACAAGCUGUUGGAGUGCCUAUGCAAGCUACAAAAGAUGCAGGAACUAACUAUCACGGUCUAUCCUGGUCAACGCAGCAUCGGCGGAUUGGAUGCCUGGGUCGCCCCUCAACAUCUCCGUGAAUUGGAUACACGACGCAGCUGUUGGUUUUCAACACUUCCAGCUUGGGUGAAUCCAUCGCUUCUUCUGGACCUCACCGAUCUAUCCAUCGCCAUGAGGGAGCUACGUCAGGUUGAUCUCGAUAUCCUCGGGAGGUUGCCAGCUCUCUGCUUUCUAGAUCUGGUGGUGGACAAUAAGAACCUUGGUAUCCUUGCGGGAUUCAUUGUUGAUGCUGGUGCGUUCCCGUGCCUUGUAAGCUGUGUCUUCCGUCAAUUUGUAUGGCCAGUGGUAUUUCAACAGGGAGCAAUGCCAAGGCUCAGAAAGCUUAUGUUCUGGACGUUUUAUGUGGGGGAGGCAAGAGGAAUUGCCUGCACCGAUGGUAGUCUCGACUUGGGCCUGGGAAACCUGCCAUCGCUGCAGUAUGUCACGGCUGACCUAAUAUGUGAUGGCUCUAGCAAGGAGGAGGUGGAGCAAGCAGUUGACGCCAAGGUUGUGCUGAAGCAUGCAGCUGAAAUGCAUCCCAACCAUCCCUCACAUUCGAUCGAUAUUGUUAUUACAGGUGCGCCAGCUCCUGAUUGUUAUUUCUUACUUAUCUCCUUCCCCCUUCUUCUAAACUGUAUUUGCGUUUAAUCCUCUGUUUGAGAUGGUGGAUUUCCAGCUGAUCUUUCACCACGCCUUUCUUCUAGCCCCUUUGCCUCAAUUCUUCUAAUCUUCCUUUCGUAUAUUUCGGUCUGAUAUACAGAUGACGAUGACGAUGACGAGUAAUAUAAGAGUUUACACCGGAAGGUGAAGCUGGAGCAGAGCAGAUGACAAAGUCCCUCUAUCUGGCCACGCAUGCAGCGGUUAAACUGCUCGGCCAUGAGCUUUUCGUUGCGAGAGUGUACUGUACUCAUAUUACCGUUUUAUUUCAUCGUAAGAUUUUUACUGCAGCCUGCUGUUUCAGUGCAAGGAACCACCCAUCAUCAGUUUUCACUUUUCAGUGCAAGGAACGUUUAUUUUACUCAUUGCAAAGGGACUGAGCUAUCUCCUGCGCCCCAAAUCUAGUUGCGUCUCAGUGGUUCAGGGCCUUGGCUGUUUAUUUUGAUGAAAUUUUUUUAGAUUAAGUGAUGAAAAAUAAAAAGGAGGUAUUUUUGGGUUAAUGUUGCAGCUUGUGACCGUAAUCAUCUUGUGAGCUGUAAGCAUGCAUGGACGGCAGUAUGUAUUCAUUGUUUCGCGGUUUCUGAUACACUAGGCCAACUAUUAUGGCAUUUCGUUCCAGCUACGAUGCUCAAGACCACAUUCAUUGUGCAUCUCUCUGAAGAGAUUCUAGCUGGCUACAAUUCUAGUCCAUGAUCUUCUAGAGCAUCUCUGCAGCACCACCCUCUAUCCCUUCACGCCACUUGUCAAUACAAAUACACAUACAACUUGGGAGGUUGCAUGGACACCUUCCGUCCCUUAAAUAUAUUUCUUUCACAAUCCUCUACUCAAAUUAGAGCCAACAAACACUCUUAGCCAAUAAACACUUCUACAUAGUUGGUACGAGUUAUUAGGCCGGCUACCUUUUAUUAUAGCAAAAGUUGCAUUGAAUUCUAGGGUGCUACAAAUGGUGUCUAAUUGUGGCAGAUAAAUAACUCCAACUCUUUCAAGAACUCCAACCCUCUGUCUUCCUCCGAAGUGUAUAUGUAUACAUACACAUUUAACAGCUUCAAUGGGUGUGGCUACAGAGUCGUGGCCGAUCAAGAACUAGAUCAUUUUCUUCCUGUUUAGUGACUACCUGACAGACUGAACUAUGAAGUCUGAACAGGCCAGUUCUGACAGACCUCAGAGCUUCAAAAUUAGAUUUUCAAUGUGCUUUCGUCAUUUGCCAGUAGCGAUGCUUGAAGGAAAAAGUAACAUCAAAACAUUUUAAAGUGAAACAUUUUCUUUUCACAAAAGAAUAACAAGCUAAACCUCACAGGCCAUUCGGGGGAAGCUAGAAGAUGCAAGGGAAAAGGGGGGACGCAAUGGAGGAGGCGAAUUCCGGUGACGCUAACACCGAGCGAGACGCUGGUGGUGGGCCGGAACGAACGCGUCCAGGUCGAAAUCUUUUUACUACAAGGUGCCUUCAAUUCAGUUCAUCCCCUUCUCCAUUUCCUUCAUGUUACGCGACAUUGGCACCCGGCAAACAAAAUCACUGAUGCAUCGUGAAAAAAGCUCAUGACUCCGGGAGGCAUUCAUGAUACAUGGAUGAUUUUUGAACUGUUGUUGGGAUCGCUUGGCACCGCUUGUAGGCGUGUUAUAUAUACACUCUGCCAUGCCUUAAGUACAGAGUAACCUGCGUUUUCUCUUUCAAGCAGUUAGCUAGUCUUUGAACUAUAUGAAGCAUUGGAGGAAACCAAAUUACGAGCUUUGACUUUUGUAGCUGAACGCAUCCACAAAUUUGGUGAGGCAUAUGGGCACAUUCAGACAAUCUUUGAUCUUGAUCACUUUCGGCCUGUACAGAUCUUUUCUCUUUCACACAAUUCCAAACACAAAGAACCAGUGAAGACUUUGUAUAUACGAUGGUAUAAGCCAUAAUGGUGCGUAUGGUUAUCGUGGUCCAUGUUGCUAAUGGUAUACAGAAGUUCAAUUUAUUGGUACAAGUGGCCAUGAUGUAUUUGUGAAAAGAGCAUCCUGUUCUUGCUGACUUCAUUGAUAACACGAUCAGGUUCGCUAUUUGGAUGUGUCGAUCGUGACAGGACUUCAGAAUGCUACCUUCCUUUGUUAGGCGUGUUACAACUUACAAGAACUGUAAAGAAGAAAUAGAAACUCAGUUAACAUCACAUACAAUGAAUCACAUCCCAUCAACAGAUAUUUGUCUGAGCUUCUCUUCAUCUCCGCUACGGCAUUGCACCCCGCAGCCUUCUACAUGGCGUUUAUGUUUUUUGUCCUGUGAUUCUAUAAUGGAUGAAGAACCGGUUACAGGUGAUCCUCGGAAGGUCACCUGAGCUUUUCCUUAAGGCCCGUCGAAUGAAUUUGUCCGCGUGCUCCUCAUGCUCCCUCGACCCACGCAUCCACGUCCAUCCCAGCCGGCGAUCACCGGUCAUAAUAAGCUGAUUAGGCUGAUAGCUACAUGAUUGAAGCGACGGCAGCACAAACUCGGGUGUGGGACGGACUCUGUUAUCGAGCGUCAAGCAUCAUCGUUUACAUGUUGUUCAGAAUUCAGUCAUAUGGUUCAGUUCACUUCUUGGUUGUCAGGUAUUUCCGGGAGGCAAAAACUGACUAGACUCACUGAAGCAUGUAUGCAUAGUGCCAUCGGUUCAUCACUCUUCAUGUUUAGAUGGAGGUAAUCAGUGGGAGGUCAUGAAAGGGAGUUUAGAUAGAAGAGAUUAAAAUUACAUUGCUUGUUUGAUGGGAAUGGGAGUUUUAAUGGGAUGAGGAAUAGGAGUUUUAAUGGGAUAAGGAAUGGGAGUUUAGAGAGGCAACUCCCACUGAUCACUUCCCCAGGGGAGGGGUGGGAAUUGGGUAGGAAUUUGUUUUAAAUGGAAGAUGAAUGCAUCUACACCAUUUAUCAUAACUUAAGAUAUAAUUUCCCAUCGCUAAAUCCUCACACCAAACAACGGAUAUCUAGUCUCACUUAAACUCCCACUCUUAAUUCCCUCCAAAAGACAAACAAGGAAAUGGCACUAAAAAUCAUAUUCCCAAGUAAAUUCCCUCCGCCAACUCCCACCGCUAAUUCCGAAGCCCCUUCCCAUUAGUUGCCCAACGCACCCUUAGAUUAGAUGAAACUGGCACCGGUCAAAAACAGAAUACUGAUCGAUCAGAUGAUCACCUAUGUGCUGUGAAAUGAAAUGAUUGUAAUGCUCGUAAAAAUUACCAAUUUAAAUCACUCGUUAAAAAUGCAUUCCAAAAUUUUCCGACCGUUGAGCUCCCAAAAAAUCCCCUCUUUCCCGUCGGAUCCGCCGUUCCGACCCCCGACGUCGUCAACCCUCUUUUUCCGUUCCCCGUAUUUUUCGCCGCGUGCCCGUCAAAUUCAUCACGCGUGCCCGUCAAAUCCCGCAAUUCCCGCCGUCUCCCUCUUUUUCUUUUUCCCUCCUUUUUCCCUCUCUUUCUUUCUUCUUUUUCCCUUCUCCUUGUUUCUUCUCUUUCUUCCUCCUUCCUCUCUCUCCUUUCUUUUUCCCCGCUUCCUUUUCUUCUCUCUGGCGCCUGGCGCCCGGCCCCUCCCUCCUAGCGCCGCCCGUGCGUCCCCUGCCUUGCGCACCCCGAGGUGAGCACCCCGCACGCGCGCCGGGCCCGCGCCGCGCCCGCGUCCGCUCGCGCCUUGGCGCCUAGCGCUUGGCCAAGCACGUCGCAUCACCGGCCGCCGGUCGCCGGUCUCCGCCAUCCCACCGCACGUCACGCCGGCCAUCACCUCGGUGGACUCCUUGUGCUCCUCGUCGACCGAGCCACCACACCAUCCACGAGCUUCUCCACUCUGGCACGCCACCGGCCAGAGGUACGGCCGCCAUUAUCACCCGGCCGCACGCCCACCUCUCCCUUCGCCUAUAAAAGGAGCAAUGCUCCGACUCUCCGCACCGCCACCUGCCACUAGCAUCACCACCGCCCCUUCCCUGCUCCCUCCCGUGCGCCCAACUGCCACCUUCCCUGUGCGCCGCCGCCCCUAACCAUUGCCGGCCGCCCCUCCUCCCAUCAUCAAAAUCUCCAAGGUGAGUGGCAAAAUGGGGCCUCCACACCUCCCCCUACCCUUCCCCACCGUCGGGGCCCGCCGCUGGCAAGGCCCGGCCGGCUGGCCGGCCACCGCCAGCCAUCCUCUCCACUUCCUGUAACCGGCCAAAGGAAGAAGAAGAAGAAACUCCUUCAAUUUCGAUCUACCCCUCUACUUCCAUUUAUUUACAAUCCGGCCCUUCCACCUCUCUCCAGGAAUUCUCACAGAUGAGCCCUUCCACUUUUCAGAAUAAUUACAAAUAGGUCCUUGGUUCUCGCGGUUUAGUCCUAAACCUUAAUUUAAACCCCUAAUCCAUGUUUAACUCGUCAUUUCAUGUGCCAAACUUCCUCCAAUUAAUCCCAAAUUCGACCACGGCCUCCUCUCAUAUAUUUCCGUCAAGGCAUAUCCAAAUUUCAUAAAAAUACCCCUCCUACCUAUUUUCCGUUCACAUUUCCUGUUCAGAGCUCAACGGGUAAAAUCUUAUUUUUGUGCUCGUUUGUGUGUGCCGUAGAUCGCGGAGUACCCAAGGAGGAGCACGAGGAGGAGUUCGACCGCGAGCCCAAGCCCGAGGACCAGUACCGCGAGCAGGAGCUCCCGGAGGGCUUUGAGAACGGCAAGUCCAACCUCACCCUUUGAUGCAUAUUUAAUACCUAAUUUUUCAAAACACAACCUAUUGGCCUAUUUUAUAAAAUGCAUAUUGUUUUAUCGCAAGACAUGGUUGGAUAGCCACCCCUUGAUUGUUAUGAUUAUUCCUUGUUGUCCUAUAUUUGUCUCUAGAUAUGAGUUGCUCUGUUUAGAUGAUAAAUACUGCUAGAAUGCUUAGGAACUCGUUACUCCCAUUCAAUCAUGACUACACUUGUUUAUAAAUGUGUGAGUGUGUUCAACUGAGAAAAUGGGAUUUUCAGGCGUAAAGAGAAGUGGUGCAUGGAUGAGAUGGAUGGGUGUUUCUUGUGUGAAAUGCCAAGAUGUUGAGCUCGUACCUUAGUGGUUGAGCAAGGUUGGGAGAUAUCCAUCUUGUCAUGGUUAAGGACUAAGUUGAUGUGUCAUCUUGCCUAAUUCAACCAUCGUGCAACCACUCGACCGUUGUAUGGGCAACGGCUUAGCAUGAAUCCCACUAGCUAAACUGCUAGGCUUCAGGUGUACUGGUGAGCAACGGGAACCCAUGGAAAAGGAUUAAGCUCUUGGUGACUUAGGUCCCGGUUCCGGCCUCGUAGAUGGGUCGUUAACCCCUUGGGUGCUUCCGUGAUGACUAGUCAGUUUUGGCUAAGGUGGGUAAUGGUUUUGUUAGGAUCCGCACCGGCACUAAGGUGAUCGUGCUGUGGUACCCUACUUGUGGGAAAAGUGUACAACCUCUGCAGAGUUAAAACCUAUCCGGGUAGCCGUGUCUAUGGCAUUGGACGAGUUACAGCUUGGUCACAUAACUAGCAUUUGGAGAUGGUUGGUUUUUAUGGUGUGUGUUGGAUUUUUGGAAGUGUCCGGCAGUUGUGCCAUGCGCUGCAGCGGACGGGGGGUCCGGUAGCGAUAAAACUUGGAUCCUUUGUGUAGGAUCAACCCCACUUAAUGAUUCGGUUAUUAAAUAAAAUACUUUGUAAAAACUCUUUGAAAAUGAACCCUUGCAUGAGUUGAAAAUCUAGCUUUAUUGCAAAUGAACCUUAACCUUGUCCUUGUUGUAUCAUGUGCAUGUUCUUGUUGUAUCCCUCUCCAUGGAUGGGGUUGGACUUGUUGAGUACCUUUGUACUCACCCCUGUUUUGUUGCUUCAGAGGAGGAUCCGGACUACGUCGUCGAGGAUUUUGAGUAGGGGGUUGCGUCUGCACCCAACGCUGCUUGCGGUGUUGGCCCUUUUGCAGGAUGCUUCCGCUGACGCAUAGUCCGAUUGCAGCCCGGAGUCCGACUGGACUGCAACUUGGAUUUGUAUUGUUAUCGCUUUAGUUUUACUUUGGGUGUGGCUUGCCCGCCCUCUCCUUCGGGAGUUGUACGGUUUCUGAACUAUCUGUUGAAUAAAUAUGUUAUCAGCCUCCUGGGACUGAUAAUUGGAUCACAUUUAGUCUCUACUUAUGUGGGGACGCUUCAAUGAUUCAUGAACAGUAACCGUAUGACUUGUUGGGGAUCACUCUAAAAGACAGCCACCCUCGAUGUCAUCUUCUUCGGCACGAGGCAACUUGCAUCGCGAAAUCUUUGCCUUCAGGCGAAGGUUGCUAACAUCGUGAGACCAAUUUGGCAUAAAAACCAUGUUAGCCUCGCGCCGUCUCUAUAGCUCGGGUCUCGAAGCUAAGGCAUAAUUGCUAAUGGCUAAAAUGUGACAAAGCUUACCCUCGGACGCUCGAAGCUAACCUCGAGUGACGAGUUUUUCACUGUGUUUUAUUCAGGGUUACCGGAAUGAGGGCGCUAAGGCUCAAGGCACGAGGCUAGGCAUCUUUCUCGGCACGAGGAUGAGAGAACUUCAAGCACGAGGUAAAGAGGUUUGCUGGAAAGAUGCUAAAGGCACAAAGGCGUGAAAAGCAUGAUUGCAUGGAGGCGUUGGAAACGUGAACCCCCGGUGGCGUGAUUAACGUGACUACCCGCUAGCGUGAGAAGCGUGACCCAAUAGAAGAGACCAAGUUGAACAAGUUACCUCCAACCUUAGAAUGUAAAGUGUCCCUCGGAUCACUAUAAAAGAGGAGCCCUACCCUGGUGUAAAGGGAUGAUCUUUUUUGAGAACUGAAUCACGAGUGCUAACUCUACAUUGUUGUGUUCGAGUUUCCUUGAGGAGUUCUCUAUCGCUAGGUGUGAAAGCCUACAGAGUCUUGAAUCUUCCCAAGGUGCGUCAGCUGUGGGUAAGUUGCUGUCAAGUUUAAGGCGUGUGGAUGAGUUGGGCAGUUUGGAGCAGCUGUGGCUGAAUGUGGAUACGCAGGACCUCGCUUCUCAGUGGGUGCCUGGGCUUAAACAACAGCGCCAAUAACUCCAUGGGGAAGACCUGGAUAUCUACACAUGGUGACUGAGGUACGAGAAAAACUGGGCAUUAAUUUAGUUGCUCCUUAAUUUGUUUGGUUGUCCAUCUAAUUAAUGUUGUUUUCUCUCUGAAUUUUGUAGUUUCAACCGACACUAGCAUCUUGAAUUUGUGGAUAUUAGUCUUCUGUAGGAAGGAGGACUGAUGAUAAAGUGCAACGAUCAAGAUGAACUGAGGUCGAAAGGUGGGAACUGAGAGAUGGAAAUCAAGAGCAGCUGCAUGCGAUGCAUCGAUUCUUGCUCUAAGGUUGGGUCUAUGAGAACACAGGGAACACAGGGAGAAGGCUUCCUCUCUUCUUUGGCCCAUUGGAAGCCUUGUUUAAUCUUGUUCAAGUGUUUGCUAUUGUUGUGUGCAUGUCUAAACAAAAUGUGUGCUACUUACUUGAGUUUCUCCAUUAAUUCAUUCUGUAAGAUGGGCUUCUAUUCCUUGUACUUAGCGAACAUGUAAUCAUAUCUUGGCUGGUGCCUAUGCUGCUGCUCCGUCGUCAAUUUGUCACCUGCUCUUUCACUGUGAUGCGAUUACAAUUUGUUAGGUGCAAUCAAUUUCUUCCGUUCUGUUCUCAAAAGAAUGUCAGAACUUGGAGAAUCACAGCCAUCAAGAUGCACUGAUGUCGGAACUCGGAGAAGGCUUCCUCUCUUCUUUGGCCCAUGGGAAGGCUUGUUUAAUGUUGUUCGAGUCUUUGGGUAUCCUUGUGUGCAUAUCUGAAUAAAUUGUGUGCUACUUGAGUUUCUCGAUUAAUUCAUUCUGUGUGAUGGCUUGUAUUCCUUGUACUUCGUGAACUUGUAAUGUCAACUUCAUCUGCUGUUGCAUGCUUUCUGUUGCCAACUGAGCUCCUGUUUUGUUACCACUGCUAUUAAUUUUUACUCUAAUAGAACUUCUGUUACUCGUUCCCCUGCUUAGUUCCGUAAUGCAUCUUAUGUCAAACAAUCAAGUCAUCCUGUGAAUGGUGAAAUGCGGGUUAGCUCUAAAAAUCAUAUCUUGGCUGGUGCCUAUGCCACUGCUCUGUCAUCAAUUUGUCACCUGUCCUUUCACUGUGAUGCGAUUACAUUUUGUUGGGUGCAAUCAAUUUCUUCCGUUCUGUUCUAAAAAAAAACUUCCGUUCAUAGGACUAGAUUUGCACGAGCAAUUUUCCGUUCAAAUUCGUGCAGCUAGAGGAGGCACGAGUCGUCAUUAGUCAAUACUUAGGUAGCUGCAGUUUUGAGCAUCUACUGAAACUCUGUUCUCUUUGCAUCUACUCUGUUUUCUUCGAACCCUGCUUGAUUCAGUACCAAAACAAGACAGCUAGCCGGAUCAGGUAGCGUGGUCGCUCUACUACAGAUGAACUUCUGAACAUUAAUUUCCUCUGUUUCUAUAAAUCGUGCAGUUGUUCAACAAUAAGAAACCAACUAAUUUCAUCAUGUUUAUUCAAAAAAUGGCUGGCUUGUGGAAAUGCCCGAAUUGAUGGACUAGAAUGUUGAACACGAAGUUUGGGAAAGAGUUAAUCUCAGAACUGGAGUUGGCAUGCAUGGAUCAUGAAGCGACUUAGAUGUACUUGUGUAUGUCCAAUUGCAUCAAGGAAAAGAGCUGCUCCAGAGCUAUCUUGAAGCUUUCUCCUCCAAGCGCAGGGAGGAAUAGAACAGAGCAGAGAACAGCUGCACUGCAAAGGCGCUCUCUGCACUCCUAGGAAGACUGAUUGGACUGAGAAAACAUGUGGUUGGACUUUUGACUAGGGGAGCUAAGGUGAACGAUUCUUGACUAGGAAGGCAUGAGGUUGGACCUCUCAUUCGGUCCGCUAAAAGAACAAUUAUUGUUGACUAAGAAAACAUGAGGUUCGGCCUCAGAUGGAAUUUGUAAGGUCCAAAGGGCCACUUUCAUAUCUUCUCCAUUCUAGAGGAUCGGAAGCUUUGGUCAGUUUUGUAUUCAUUUCUUUGCAAAAGAAACGUACUCAGAUGCCUCCUAUGGUCUCCAUGGUUGGUUGCAAUCACCUAACUGAAUUAAUUGAACGAUAGAUAGAGCAUACUGUAAAUUUUUUAUGACCAAGGACAAAAGGAACGACUUCUACUGAACUGACCACACAGCAAAGAGGCCAAGGCCUGGUGGCCUUAUCGUCACGCAUCUCGCUACUAAGUAGUGAUCACACACCAAAUAAAAGCUAACAGCCGAAGAAGGCAACGGAUGUCAACAAAGAUGGCACGCAUGCAUGUUUCCUUGACUAUAUAUGACAUGGGACAACUAAUUUACAUUUAUACUGCUACGAGUUUUACAAUAUUAGUAAAAAUCUAUUUGGAUCCGAUGCUAAAUUUUAGCCGGCUAAAAAUUAGUCCUUGACGAUUUAAACGGUGGGGCUAAAGGUGGACUAAUUAUUAGCCAACUCAAACUAAACUUUAGUUCAUUAGCCCUCCAAACCCAGCUAAUGGGGCUAAUUUUACAAACGAAUGGUAAAAGAUUAAAAAUACCCUCCACUAAAAUCUUAAAAUUUUCUCUCCUACACCCCCUAAGGAUAGAAUAGACAUUUCCCAAUAAAUAGGUUAAAAAUUAGCUCUACCUCCAAAGAAGACAGAGUUAUUUUAGCCAACGAAAGUUUUGAUGUCUAAACUUUAGUUUUAGUCCAUCCAAACAGACUCUUAGAAUGAUUGAUACCACCACCUUGAUUUUGGUUCGGAAGUAUUUAUCUAGAUAAAAUAAAAAUUUUAGCGCUGGUCCAUGUAUCUAGAAAAAUCAAACCGACCUACAUUUUGAAACGAAGGGAGUAGAAUGUAAGAUGCAUAGGUGCAACUUGAAGAAAAUUGGAUCCCCGUUGGUACGGAACUAUGAUACAAGUAGGGAGAGAUGUCUCGUACGUAAUUUCGCUGUUGCACGAUUCAUGAAUGCAUGCAUGUAUGAUACAAGUAGCAAGAGACGUCUCGUGAUUUCGCUGUUGCACGAUUCGUCAAGAUGCAGGGACCAGCAUCAUCAAACUGAAAACGUGAUGGACCGAGACGGCGGCGUGUGUUGAAUGUGUUCCGCCUGCAGGCCGCGACGUACUUGAGAAUAGCACGCGUCACGUAAGGAGGUGUUUGAUUCUUUAGAACCUCCUAAAAUUCCUAUCACAUCGAAUGUUUAGAUACUAGUUAGGAGUAUUAAAUAUAGACUAAUUAUAAAACUAAUUGCACAAAUGAAGGCUAAUUUGCAAGACGAAUCUAUUAAGCCUAAUUAGUCCAUGAUUUGAUAAUGUGAUACUACAGUAAACAUGUGUUAAUGAUGCAUUAAUUAUGCUUAAUAGAUUCGUCUCGUGAAGCUUCCGUCUGUGUAAUUAGUUUUAUAAUUAACUCAUGUUUAUUCCUCCUAAUUAGACAAAUACUAGUCCAUCAACCCGUGCUCCCGCACGGACUAAUAUUUUUAGAAGCAAUUGUAUAUAAAAAUUAUUUAAAAAUUAAACUCUUAGCUAAUAAUCAAAAUUGUUUACCUACUACUCUCUUAUUUUUCCAAUACUUGAACAUAAUAAUUACAUAGAUAUGUACCUAUCUUUGUCCAGUUGUGAUUGCUUUAUAAUCAAUAAUUACUCUAUAUACUUUUUCAUCCAUAUUCAUACUUUUUUUCAUUUUGUAUCACACCUCCAAUCCUUCAUACAUUAUGUUUAGCAUACAAAUUAAUAUUUUUCAUCGAUUCCUCACAUACAUGUAUAAAUGGUCUAAAUGGUGGCACUCAUCAUGUGUAUAUACUUUAACUUAGUAUUUUUAUAUUAACAAUGACAUAAAUAGGUAAUUUAGAAUCAUAUAUUAAUUUACUUUUUGACAUUUCUGUAUGAUGCACAUGAAGAUAAUUAGAUGAAGAUUUAGGUGUUUACUUUAGGUUAUUUUUAAUAUCGACAUAUGUGGGUAAUAUAGAUAAAAUUUUAGAAUGACAUUUUAAGUUAUGCUUUAUAAUGAUGUGUAUUAGUAAAUUGGACGAAGAUUAUGAGGUUACUUUAUAUUAUUUUUUAUAGUAGCUGAGCUCAGUAAUUUAGAUAUAGAUAUAGGUUUAGAGCUCAUUUUUUUAAUAUUUUCACAAUGAUAGUGGCAGGUAACCUUUUAGAAAAUAUAAUAGAUCAGUGGCUAUGAUUAUUAGAGUUUACAUGAUUGGUGUUUGAUGUUUUUAAUUUUUAUGAGAAUUUCUCUCUUUUUUCUAGCUUGUCUCGUGGGAACUAAUGUGGAGUCUCCAAUGGAAAAAAAAUGUAGGGUAACCUCAUGUUAUUUUUAAUAAUAGCAUGUGUGGGUAUUAUAGUGGUUAUUUUUCAUGCAAAUUUAAGGGUUACUUAAAAAUUUUAAGUAAUAGUGGUAGGCAAUUCAGCUGCAAAUUAGGGGGUUAUUUUAAAUAUUGUUUACAAUGGCAUAAGUGGGUAAUUUUGAUGAAGAUUAGGGGGUUACUUUAAUUAAUUUUAUAUAAUGGCAGAGGUGGGUAAUUUAUAUAUAGAUUUAGAGGGUUACUUUAGGCUAUUUUCAUAAUGGCAUAGGUGGGUAAUUUUUUUAAAAACAUAAUAGAUCCAAUGGUUGUAAUGAUUUGAAUCUAUCGACCGAUGGUCGGAUGUUUUGCUUUUUUAUAAGAAUUUCUAGGAUUUCUCUCUUUUUGUAGAAUGUCCACCUAGGAAUCCUAGGUGGCUUCACCUGGAGGCUUCAAAAGGAGCCUCCAAUUAGUAAUAGUAAGAUUCGAUGUGACAUAAAUUUUAGUCCGGACUAAAGAUCGAAAUUACCCCUGGUACGCGUGGGAGUAGCUCAGCUGUCCCUGUCCAUUGCGGCCCGGAAACUGGAAUUCCACCUUCAAGAAGUACGUGCCGAGCCUGACUGUUUGUAGAUUCGUCAAGGUCAUCGUGGUGUUUCUAGAUUCGUUUCAUCUUUCGAAGCAGAGUUCUUGUGUUGAGUUCUUGUUGUUCACCGUGCAAGAGUUGGCGUUUCUAGCACGCACGGAGAGUGAAUCAAGGCAUGUGGGACGACCCAUUCGGAGUAGUAGUCAAUGUGGAAUUGAAUGACGGGCUGUGUUAUGGUGUGCACGAGUGGAAGAAAUUAAAAAGUCUGAUUGCAACGUUACUGCGUUACUUGACGAAAUCUGCAGCUUGAAGAACAGGGAAGGUCCAUGAAUGCAUGCGCCGGAGGAGAUCCGGAACAACAUAUGCAUAUACGGGAGUUCUUGGGAAAAUAAUAAUUAGAUAAAAAUUACUAAAUUAUCUAUAAAAAUGGAUGGUUAGACCACUAACGAGUCGCAUAAGGCACCGUAAAAGACUUCUUGAAUAAUUAUUGGACUAACCUACAUGAUUAUUAUAGUGCAGAAACCAUACCGAGCAGGAAUGGAGUCAACAAUGACGUGUCCUGUGCAACAAUGACGUGUCCAGGAAGAUGCGGUCCAGUUGACGCAGCCAAGAUGGGCCGUUACACGUUGAUCCAUUGUUAGCUAGCGCACUCGCUUCACUAGCAGCAACCUCUAUAAAAGGAGAUCAAUACCGGAACAGAUCAGCAAUCUGCACAAGACCACAAGUAGUUAACUAAGCAUUGCAGCCAGUUAUUAGCAACUAGCUACUAGUGACUACUGAACAUCCAGCGCGUAGGAUGGCUGCAAGAAAGGCUAUUGGUGCUAACAAGGAGACCUGCGGCGCCUUUGAACCUUGUUUAUGGGGCGACUUCUUUGUGAAUUACACUCCUACCUCAUCACAGGCAUGAAUUUAUGAUUUCAUUGUAGUCAGCAUGUUAUAAUUUUUAGCUCUUUAGUUAUAUUGUAUUGCAUAACAAGCAGAGGUCGGAGGAGUGGAUGAGAGAGAGGAGUGAGCAACUCAAAGGGGAAGUGUGCCGGAAGUUUGAGGUUGGAAAAGCCAUGAGCGUGGCCGACACGGUGAGGUUGGUGGACACGCUCGAACGCCUUGGUAUAGAGAACCAUUUCGUCAAGGAGGUUGAGAAGGCCUUGGAGGGUGUCCACGAUGAGGAGCUGGACUUUGGCAGCUCCAAUGACUUGCAUGUUGUUGCCCUCCGGUUUCGUCUUCUUAGGCAACAUGGCUUUUGGGUAUCCGCAGGUAAUAGAAAUCAGAAGCUAACAAAAGCUGAUCAGUUAUGCUCGAUCAUUCUUCUUUCACACAUGUUUCUCUGUUUUUCUCUUUUUUCUUGUUGCCACCACAUAACCUAUACACGCUGAAAACUGUUUAUCAUACAAUUUUUUUGUUUUAGAUUUAAUUUGAAUGCGUGUGUAAUAUUAUGUACUAGGAGUUAUAGAAAACGCCAUAUCAUUACUAUAUGAGCUUCUAGUGAUGAAUAUGUACAUACGUGCAUGCAUACAGAUGUAUUCGACAAAUUCAGAGAUGACACCGGUAGUUUCAACGUAAAUCUAAGCAAUGACCCGAGGGGCCUGCUUAGCUUGUACAAUGCUGCUCACAUGGCGGUACCUGGUGAGACGAUCUUAGAUGAUGCUAUCGCCUUCACUAGGCGCCAUCUUGAGGCUGCAAAAGGCAAGCUUACAUCUCCUAUAAAGGAACAAGUUUCCCGUGCCCUAGAGAUUCCGCUCCCUCGUUUUAUGCGGCAACUAGAGACCAUGCAUUAUCUUACUGAGUAUGAGAAAGAAGAGCCACACGACAUCAUGAUGCUAGAGCUCGCAAAGAUUAACCUCAACCUUCUUAGGAGUGUCCACCUCAAGGAGCUGAAGGACCUCUCACUGUAAGUUGAUAUUCUAGUUCUUUCACCCUAUUUGUUCAUUGUUCAUUGUCUUCACUAACAAGGUGGGUCAACCAAUUCCAUGUGAAGAUGGUGGAGGGAUCUCUACGACAGUGUGAAGCUAACCUACUGUCGGGACCGCAUCGUGGAGUCUUACUUCUACAGCUUUGGAGUGUUCCAUGGGGAGGAAAGCUCUGCUGCGCGGAUCAUACUUACCAAGGUGUUUGGGUUGUUGGUCCUGAUUGAUGACACAUUUGAUGUGCGCGCCACCUUUGAGGAGUCCCAAAUGUUAGAUGAUGCCUUGCAAAGGUAGGAUAAUUCACUACCACUACAACUACUUCCUCUAUUAUAUGUUUUUUGUAAAUGAAAAAUCAAGUUUUAUCGUACAGCUCACUUAUAAAAAUAACAAGGGACUCGAUAACUGGAAUGCUGACGCACAUAUGAAAAGAACCUAAAAUCAUUAUUGUAAGGAAGUCGUACUACAAGAUGGUUGUAUACUUGUAUGUGGUUAUAUAUGUUGUUCGCUGGUCAAAAUAAAACAGCCAAACUAAUUAGUGUAUUUCUGUCAUAAUUAUAUGUAGAUGGGAUGAGAGCACUGUUUCGCUUCUACCACAAUACCUACGCAUGUUCUACAUCAAAACAUUGAGUAACUUCAAUGAAAUUGAGGAUACUUUGGAACCGCACGAGAAGUACCGCAUGGAUUAUGUCAAAAAAGAGGUGUGGAUUAUAGUCAACUAACAGCUAUGUAACUUCUGUAGAAACAUAACAAACAUGAACAGUGGUUUCGAUCCUCUCAAUUUUAUUAAUCCCAACUUAUUUGCGUACAAUGUUUUUGAUUUUGCAGUACAAAUUGCAAUCAAAAAAUUCCAUCCAACAGGCUAAAUGGUUCAAUGAAAACUGCACGCCCAGCUUCAAAGAACAUCUAGACGUGUCACUUAUGGCGACGGGUUUGCCGUUGCUGUUCUUCACAGCUCUGAUGAGUGCAGGCCAAGUGAUAAGCAAUGAGGCAUUCGAGUGGGCACUUGACAUGCCUGACAUGUUUUAUGCCAAUAUAGAAGUGGGUCGCUUCCUCAAUGACAUCGCUUCUUACAAGGUACUAUAUCGAGUUCAAAUAAUAGUCUAUCUAUUUUUAAAUAUUUGAUGCCAUUACCUUUUUCAUUCUUUUGACUAUUCAUCUUUUGUAUAAACAUAAACAUAUGAUGCACGAUUUAAAGCACUUUUGAUGAGAGGUCUAGUUUUACUUAUUUCGCUUUACUUAAUGAAUUAAUUCAAUAACCAUUAUUGUCAAAGUUUGAGAAAAAGACACCUUAGAAGGUAUUUCAAUCAUGGAGGUAUUUAUAAGACCAUUGUUGUUAUUUUUAUUGAUAACAAAUAUUAGAAAAGCAAUGGACAGACAUGCAGUACAUUCCAAACACCUUUGACAUCAUAAACAGCAAAAUAAUCUACUACCUGCUUGUAUUGGAAAAAUAUGACAUUCAGUGCCCGGAUGGAUCUCGUAUAUGCACGCACCUAACAUCACAAAUACGCAUGUCUUUGCGCGCAGCAAGGGAAGUGCGAGAAGGAUGUGGCCAGCACUGUGGAGUGCUACAUGAGGGAAUACGGCACGACUGGGGAAGAGGCGGUGGCAGCGAUCACCGGGAUGGUGGAACAUGCGUGGAGGAGGAUAAACAAAGCUUGCAUAGAGGUGAAACCUGCAGUAGAGCCGGUAGUGCGAUGUUUGUUGAACACGACGAGGGUGCUAGAGGCCUACUACCUUCAUGGCAGGGACGGCCUCACCUAUGGCCGUGACCUCAAGGAGCUCAUCACCUUCCUCUUCCUGAAGGAUGUCCAUGUCUAAGUUUGUUAUUUGCAUCAGUACGACAUAUAAUGUACUGCAUAUAUGCAAUUGUUAAAUGUGAUGCUUGUGUCGAGAAUAAUAAAAACAAUGGUGCCAACCUAGCUAACUGGUCGAGCCUCGUCACUCGGUUCAGCCUGCCAUUGGCUUAUCUUCUGAACUUAAUCUUUUACAUAUAUGAUAUUGCCAUCUGCUCUCAUUUACUGUCAGACUUAUUGUGUGUUUAACUCUUGAUCUGCUCUCAUUUGCCUAUGCCAAUGCUCUGUCGUCAAUUUGUCACAUGUCCUUUCACUGUGAAGCGAUUACAUUUUGUUGGGUGCAAUCAAUUUCUUCGGUUCUGUUCUCAAAAAAAAAAUCUUCCGUUCAUAGGACUAGAUUUGCACGAGCAAAUUUCCGUUCAAAUUCGUGCAGCUAGAGGAGGCACGAGUCGUCAUUAGUCAAUACUUAGGUAGCUGCAGUUCUGAGCAUCUACUGAAACUCUGUUCUCUUUGCAUCUCCUCUGUUUUCUUCGAACCCUGCUUGAUUCAGUACCAACACAAGACAGCUAGCCGGAUCAGGUAGCGUGGUCGCUCUACUACAGAUGAACCUCUGAACAUUAAUUUCCUCUGUUUCUAUAAAUCGUGCAGUUGUUCAACAAUAAGAAACCAACUAAUUUCAUCAUGUUUAUUCAAAAAAUGGCUGGCUUGUGGAAAUGCCCGAAUUGAUGGACUAUAAUGUUGAACACGAAGUUUGGGAAAAGAGUUAAUCUCAGAACUAGAGUUGGCAUGCAUGAAUCAUGAUGCGACUUAGAUCUACUUGUGUAUGUCCAAUUGCAUCAAGGAAAAGAGCUGCUCCAGAGUUAUCUUGAAGCUUUCUCCUCCAAGUGCAGGGAGGAAUAGAACAGAGCAGAGAACAGCUGCACUGCAAAGGUGCCCUCCUUCUCGGGCUGUGACUGUGUAAUAUUCCAAAAAUUUGAAAUAUUAAUUUGAGUGAAAUUUCCAAAAAUUCCAAACUUUUUGUUCAAAUUGUGUGCUUGUUUAAAAAUGAAAGACAAAUUCUCUUCUCAUCCAAAUUCCCUAAUGGUCAAAUCACAAAUCUCUUGAAAACUUGUGUGGAUUUUCAUGGAUUUUAUUUGGAUCUCAAAUAUAAGUGUGUUUGAAUUUUGAAUAUAAUUCAAAAUUCAAACUAAAAUGUAUCCCUCCUAAAUUUCUGUAAAUCAUUUCUUAAGAGCCAGAUCCGCCUCCUCUACAAAAUUUUUUUGCUCCUGAAGCUUUUGGCUGAGAGUAUGGAUCACUUUAUCUUUAUCAGCGAUGGUCCUCAUAACUUUUUCUAUAGUGUCCCGGAGUUUCUCCAAAACACCAAGACAAUAAACACCAAGAUUGUCUGCAGAACUCUUUUCCAGGCUUUUGACUUUCUGAACGAGGUCGCUGCAAGUGUUGGUAAGCAGCACCUUGUUUCUUUGAAGCUUGGCGUUAGCCUCGAAAAGCUCAUUCUUUAGACUUACUAAAAUGCUAUUUUCCUUCUCGAGCCUCGCCACCUUAGCCUCAAGAUUUAGCAUCUUGGCGCUCUGACUGAGCAUAUCCUUCUCUUUCUCUGCUAGCUUCUUCACAGCGAUCUUGCCGAGGAUCACAGACUGCGCAGGCAGCAAACAGAGAAAGGCAAAUUAAAUGCUAUCAAAUAAUAAGAAGCAAGGAAAAUACACAUAUCAAAUACAAUACCUUGUAACCGAGGUUAGCCAACGGCCUGGCAAGAUCGUCAGGUUCGAGGUCACGAACAGCUUUCUCAUACUCUAUCGGAAUGAGACAUGUUAGAAAAACAAGCAAACUAAGGAUAAGUGCAGUUGAGGUAAACAAAAAAGGAAAUAAGAAGAAAUAACUUUCAGGGUCGAAAGCUUUAUCCUCGCAUUCAUCCUCAGCACGAGCCUUGGCCUUUCCAGAGGCCUAGAGGUCCCCUUUUUUCUCUGUAUCCCCCUUUUUUCGAGCCUCGCCCCCGUCACCCUCAACUUUCCCUGGGAUUGCCUUCGCCACUUCAUCUACAACACGGACUGCAUCCUCAGUCACAGCCCUGGCAAUGUGGGAAUUCUUCGUAGAGUUUUUGACCUUCAUGCCAGCAAGCGGACCAGUAGCCUCAAGCUCAGGUUUGGUUGUAGCUGGCUCAACCCUUGAGACAAAAGACGCAUAGCUCUUUGUAGCUUCGCCCGAAGAACUUUGACCAAGUCUUUCUUUCUUUUUUAGGGCCUCGAGGCUGGAAAUCUUCAACUUUGCUCUCGCAACCUCACUUACAAUGCCCGCUUGGGUAUCUUUCUUCCUCGCAACCUCGAUCAUGGCCUUCGAGCCUGCACUCUUAGCCUUCUUCUUUUUCCCCUUGCCUCCCCACCAAUCUGCUUCAAGCCGGUCACGCCGGCCUCGCACAUUUGCUUGGAAGCUUUGCGAGGCUUCGAGCAGGGCUCAACCUCAGUUCCAAGAUCUUCAAACACACGGUUGAUUCGAAGCUCAUGCUCAACGAGCUUGCAGGCAGACGACAGCUCAUUCUCAUGGCAGGGGCCAAGGAAGUCAAUGGUGUGCCUCUCAACCUCAUCUACGAAGAGUCUAGGGUUAACACCCUCGGGCAACUCUAAUGCAAACCGAGGGUAGGGGAACAGGCUGGUGCGCCACGAGAUAGUCUUUCGAAUAAUCUCCUUUAGUUCCCACCCUUUGGAAAGAGGCCAGAUGUUUGCCGCCACAAACUCAUCGACAAGAUCCCACCCAGUAAUUGACCUCGAGGCUGAGAAAAAGACGUUCUCGCACUCCUUAACAACUACGAUCCUCGAAAAUGGGGGAGUAGUGGAGAUGUCCAUAGGACCUAAUGGGGAAUAGAAAGGAUAAAAUGACCGGUUGAUGCCAGAUGUGUUGGCCAUGUCAACUUUAACAUAAAAUCAAUAGCUCAGCCAAUCGUCAUCCCACAUGUUCUUCUAUGCCGAGGAAAUUUCAACCCUCAGGAUUUUCUGUUUCUCAUUCUUCCUCCGAGUCAUGAAUAUGCAGCAACCAAACUGUGUCUCGAAGGUACCUUCCUCAUCAUCGAACACAACCCUUUUCCAUUGGAUGUGAAGCUCGAAUAACCUCGUGAGCCCAUCAAUAUUGAUUGGCCCACCAAAUGUGCGCUGGACCCAGUAAAACUUGGAGAGUGCAACAAAGGAGUUUGGGGUAAGAUGAUAAAACCUAGCCCUAUACGGAUCCAGAAUCCUUGGAAACUCCUUGUCACACGGAAACCUUAGGCCCGUGGUGAAGAAGUCUCUGAACACCACAACCUCACCUACCUUAGGCGCUGGCACAAUCUCGUCACUUGGAGGCCUAGCAAUACCUUCGGGAAAAUAACCCUUGCUAACAUAGAAAUCUAUGGUAUUCUUUGAAACCAAAGAUCUCCCGAAUAGCAGGGUGGGAGGAUAGACUUCCUUGCCAGCCAUCAUGUCUGAGGGGUCCUCCUCGAUGUUGGAAAGGUCCUCCCCGCUAUCGGCAGCAACCUCGACAUCAACCUUGUUUGUGGUAACCUCGUCAGCAACGCCCUCACCAGCCUCAACCAACUCGAGGUCUUCUCCAGCCUCAGUGCGAAGCCUCGACUGUUCAGCAAAUUCCUCGACGGUCAUAGGCCUCGUAGUUUGCAUUAUACGAGCCAGCUAAGCAACGAUCAAAUAUCAAGUUAAAAUAAAAAACAAUAAAGCAAAACAUAAAAAAAAGUAAAAUACAUAUAAGAUCGUUACCUUCGAGACUUUGGAGAUCAAGGCAGACAGCAUGCAACACACAAAUCUCAAAGCAACUAGCAACACGCAAAAGCAAGUAGUGAGCGAAGUUUCAAGAUGCGAAGGUAAAUUCGAAAGUGACCUAAGCCCCCCCCCCCCCCCCUCUUUUAUAGGCACGGUAACGGACGCAAAAUGACACUUUAAACCUCGAGCCGAAUACGAAGCGUCAUCCAAUAAGAAAUUGACACGUACGACUUAAAAGGUAAACAUUGCCUCGUUUCUCCCUGACCCUCGAGGCUGACGUUUUUUGGGAGAAGCAAUCCUUAAUCGUGGGUUCGGCCCGUCGGUGUCGACCCUCACCCACAAGGGGCUACUGUUGGGGAUCAUCCUAAAAGACGGUCACCCUCAAGGUCGUCUCUUUGGCAUGAGCCAACUUGCAUUGUGAAAUCUUUACCUUCGGGUGAAGGUUGCUAACUUCAUGAGACUAGUUUGGCAUAAAAACCAUAUCAGCCUCGCACCAUCUCCAUAGCUCGAGUCUCGAAGCUAAGGGAUAAUUGCUAAUGGCUAAAAUGUGACAAAGCUUACCCUCGGGUGCUCGAAGCUAACCUCUAGCGACGAGUUUUUCACUAUGUUUUAUUCAGGAUUACUAGAAUAAGCGCGCUAAGGCUCAAGGCACGAGGCUAGGCGUCUUUCUCAGUACAAGGAUGAGAGAACUUCAAGCAUAGGUAAAGAGGUUUGCUGGAACAAGGCUAAAGGCACAAGGGCGUGAAAAGCAUGACUACAUGGGGGUGUUGGAAACGUGAACCCCCGGUGGCGUGAUUAACAUGACUACUCGCUAGCGUGAAAAGCGUGACCCAAUAGAAGAGACCAAGUCGAAUAAGUUACCUCCAAAAGACCUUUAUGUACAGUACAUUUUAGGAAUGUAAUAGUUGAGAUAGGAUAAUCUUGGAAUGUAUAGUGACCCGGUAAAAGGGAGCCCUACCCGACAUAAAGUGAUGAUCUUUUUUGAGAACUGAAUCACGAGUGCCAACUCUACAUUGUUGUAUUCGUGUCUCCUUAAGAUUUGUUUCCAACAUGACUUAAGGCAACGGAUGCAUGCUUAUCAAUACCAAAGACUAUCAUAUAUAUAUUCUACUCCCCUAUGCCUUCGAUGGCAUUCAAAACAUAAUGUUGCAUGGAUAGUAAGAGUAACUUGUGUUCCUCUUCCAACACUGAAGCAUUAGAGGAAACCAAAAAUACCACGAAGAGCAUUGACUUGUUUACCUGUGUGCGGGUAGCACAACCAAGCAUGCAUGUAGCGAUUAGAGGAACUCCCAUUUGCCUUUUGAGCAUUUUGGGAGACCAAUUUGAUCGGUUUUGCUAGACCUGCCACUUUUGGACCCCAACAGUUACUUCUUGAGUUUCUUUGGCAGAGGUUCUAUUCACAAUCUUGUGGCUAUGUAACUAUCUCUACUAGUCAAGAUGACACAACUAGCUUUGUGGUGAUGGUGUUCUAUUCUACCCUUAUAUUUCACUGUAUUUACCCACCGCUACCAUGUCUAGUGUUGGAAUUAAGCUUGUGCAUGUCUGAUUUACGGUGCCAUUGCAACCGACGGGUAACCAUGCUAGUGAUCGGAGACAUUCGAGUUGUUGCUUGUCCAGUUGUCCAGCCAUAAUCAUUUAAACCAAAAAAACAAAAAAUCUUAUUGCCGCUGGUUCAAUACUGACAUCCGCUGUGGUGUCAGGCGGGAUGGCACCGCCCGAGGUCGAAGCCUUCAUCGGAGUCGGUGUCAACUCCGGCGCCACGCGGCAUGUCAGCCCGAGCGCUCGUCGGCAGGGCGGGCUUCAUAAUUUUAAGGGUCUUUGGGUAAGCAAACUAAUUUUGAUAUAGUAUAUAGUAUGAGUAAUAAAAAUUACUUAGCCAUACAUGUAUAGCUCAUAAAACAUAACAAUAGUGUAACAAAAAACUAAAAAUAAUAACCAUUAUGAUAACUUCAAAUAAAAAUAAUGUUUCAGUGUUUCGUAAAAAACCGUUUUCGGGCAUUUCUUAAUGCAAAAUCUUCAAGUAAUGUCGUCCAAAACAUCCUUCUCAAUGCUGCACAUAGCCAAACCAUUCAAUCUUUCUUGUAACAUAGUUGAUCUCAAACUUACGUAGAGAACCUCUCUGCGAUUCUACGAACUGUUCUUUUUAUUUUUCUUUUCUUUUCUGAGCACUCGACAAAUGUUUCUUAGGAAACAUCUAUCGUAUUCAAAUAAGUACAUUGAAUUAGAAAUUUUAACCCUAACACAAUCAGUAUAAGCAUAGUGUAUAAAAAAUAAGAAAACAAUUGGAAAAACUAAUCAAUUGGUGUGUUGCUUACUGUGACAAGCGAAUCGGAUUGGUGUCCUUGCUGUUAUCGGUCGCCGCCUCGCUGGGUAAGGAGUCAAUCGACGUGGGCGUCUUCUCUCCUCAACCAGAGCAUGUUGAUGGGCACGCAGAGUCAUGGUGGCAGGAAACGAUCAGACGAAACGUUGCCUGCGGCCUGCCCUCCGCUUGAUGGAUCAAGUUAAGUAGAAUAGGUCUGGAAGAGAGAGUUACCUACGGCAUGGGCUACUUUGUGAUAGGCCUUCAAAUGCUUAUUAUGCCAAAUAGAAAAUUGUAUGUACGAAUUACCUAUAUGAUCUUGCCCCUCACCUCCCAGCUCCAUAACCCCCGGCGGUCGCACUGCUUCCCCCCCUCCCCCCACCCCACCCCCCACCCCCACACACACACCCCUCUGAGCCGGGCCUGCUGGCAAAGCCCGACGAGGCUUACUAAAGCAUCCGUGUGUAUACCAUCAUUUAAUCACUUAAUCUCAUUUUUCAAUUUCCUUCAGGUCAUAUGACGUUGCCACCCGGUAAAAUGAAACACUGAUGCAUCGUGAAAAGAGCUCAUGGUUCCGGAAUGAGCACUUUGUUGGAUGACCUGCACUGCUUACAAGAGUGUUAUGUAUAAACACUCCCAUGCCUUGGAUGCCAUUCAAAAUGUUACCAAACAUAUGUAGAGUAACCUGCGUUUCUCUUUCAAGCAGCUAUUUAUGAAGUAUUGGAAACCAAAUUACAUGCUUUCACUUGUGUAGCUGAAUGCAUCCACGACAAUUCGACGAGUCAUAUCAGCAUAUUCUUCCUUACUGUGCCCUAUUGAAAUAUUUCUCACAGUCUGCUACAAAAAUUAGGGCCAACAAACAAUUCUAUAUAAGAUGGCGCGAGCCAUAACAGUUGGUGUGGUUACUGUAUCAAAGCUUGCACUAAACGCUGGAAUUCGGCCCAUGGUGCUAAUAGUAUACACGAUCGUGACGGGUACGGAUGGCCAUGACGAUGUAUCUGAGAAAAGAGCCUCUGGUUCUUGCUGACUUGAUCGAUGGCAUGAUCAAUGACACGAUCAAGUUUGCUACCUAGCUGGAUCUGGAUAAGAGCACAUGUGUAAUGUGGUGGUGCGGCACCAAAGUGUGGUGCUCGUUGUCAACCAAGCCAUCAAUCAUGAUUUUUUUAAAAAAAAAUGUCGGAUACAAGAACUUUUGUAUCUGUUUGACCUUGUUCAUCUUUACUAUACAUCACAACCAGCUACACAUGCAAACUAGAUAAUGCAAUCUUCUACUUGUUAUGGAGCCUCCAUGUUAAUACUCAUAAGAUGCGCUAGAAAAAAAAGAUAAAUUCUUGAAAUUCACAUAAAAAUAAAAUAAAAAUAUGAUCACGUUUAUACAUAUAUAGUGGCAUAAGUUUAGCCACUUCUUCGUUUUCUUUGCUUCAUGUCUCACACGACAUUGCUGGCACGAAGCAAACAGAACACUGAUGACUAAUUAAGAGAUGAACAUUGUAAAGUGAACUCACGAUCCGGAGUGCACUCAUGAUAGAUGAAGGAUGCAUGAACAGUUAUUGGACGACUUGCAGCAACGGUUACAUGCUUGCAAGCUAGAUAAAUACCAAAGACUAUCAUAUAUACUCUCAUGCCUUUGUUGCCGUGCAAAUGUUACAUGGUAGUAUAGUAUUAAGAGUAACUUGUGUGCAGGAUCUUUUUUUUUGUUGCAACUUGUUAAGAACUAAGAACUAUGAACUUUUUUUUUAAACAGUAAGAACUAUAUCAACUGAACUGAAUGAACGAGUGCCAGUGUCAAUUGUCUGGGCCAAGGGAAGGCCCGUUUACUGAGCUAAUGAGCCCGGCCUUUUUUAUUAGAGGCCCGUAGAACGAAUUUGGUCAGUCGGCGCGAUCCUCGGGAAACCUGUAUGGCUUCCGGUAAUUUUUUAGCUACUUGACUUCCAAUAUUGAGAUCCGGUGCAACUCUUCUCAACCGCACAGCAGUCGGAAUCAGAGCAGGCCCGCAUGCAUGCGCGCAACUGAUGGUGCAGGUUACCCAAUGAGUCAUGCUUUACUAGUUGGUGGGUCUUUCUUUGGAAUUUCAAACUUCAAACUACAUUUUCUCCCAAACCGUAAAUUUAUUUUUGAAUCCGUUUGAACCACUAUCUUGCUAAGAAUUAAUGUAACAUAAUCUUAUCUUACUAUUACUAAUUAGAGACUUCUUUUGAGGUCUCCACGUGAAGCCACCUAGGAUGCUAGGUGGACACUCUAGAAAAAUAGAGAAAUUCUAGAAAUUCUCACAAAAAUUAGAAAGAUCUAGCCAUCAAUCAGUUAGACUCUAAUUAUGAUUGCUAAUAAUAGCCACUAGAUCUAUUAUAUUUUGUAAAAAAUUACCACAUAUGCCAUUAUAAAAAGAACCUAAAGUAACCCUCUAAAUCUACGUAUAAAUUACCCACCUUUGCCACUAUGAAAAUAAUCUAACAUAAUCCUCUAAUUUCAUUUAAAUAACAAAAAUGUGCCACUAAAAAUAAUAUAAAGUAAAAAAUAUUAAUCCUUAAUCUCUAUCAAUGGAAGCUCAUAAAAGGAUGCCAUCAAUCCUCCUCACGCCUGUUCACGGGAAAAUAAAUAUAAAGAAAUCCUAAAUUUGUAAAAAAAUGAACAAAACGUAUAGCCUAUACAUCUCACGUAAAGGAUAUCUUCGUUAAUUUCUCCAACCCUCCACUUAAUCCACUUGAUCAACUACUACCGAUCUCAACAAGCAUUCAUCUCUCCUCCCCUAAAAUAAUACUGAUUGCAUCUCCUCUCCAUCAAAAUAAUUGGGGACUCUUUUUUAAAACCUCCACAUAAAGCCAUCUAGGAUCAUAGGUGGGCUCUUGAAAAAUAGAGAAGUCUUAGAAAUUCUAAAAAAAGUGAAACAUCUUGCUACCAAAUUCAGUAUGUUGUAAUCAACGUUGUUAAUAAUAGUUGUUUGACUAUGCUCUAUUUCUAAAAAAUUACUCACUUAUACCAUUACGAAUAAAUAGCCUAAAAUAAUCACAUGUUUCUAUAUCUCAAUUACCCACGUAUUCUAUUAAAAAAAUUAAUCUAAUAAUGUCCUACAGAUCCCAUUCAGCCUAAUUUAAAUAUUUUACGAAAAACCGAUACUUUUGUACUGCUCCCAUCAACUAGAAAUCCAAACGGUAAGUCAAGUCAUUUCUUUGUUGUUUUGGGCUAUUGCCUGCUUCCAUUUUCAUCAAUUGAGAGGUAAUGAAUUCUUCUCAAACAGUUAUUCCUGCCGAAUCUGUUUUAUGGGAAGAUUAUUUGUAUACCAUAACAUAUGUACAGAUAAAUAGGUCGAUUCUGCAUCCCUUGCGAAUUUAAAGUACGAAAUUCUACUUGAACUCUUAGUCCUACCAAAUCUAUAUACUAUAUCUGAUCAUUAUUUGUAUACCGUAACUUUGGUAUAAAAAAUAGCUUGAUUUUAUAUUCCUUCCAAACCUAUCUCGCAAGAUCAUCCUUCUUCUUGAAUUGUUUUGUACAAUGCCAUGUUUGUAUACCAUAACUUUUGUAUAGAAAAAUAGCACAAGUAGUGGAUCCAUCACCAUCUUGGUGAUGCAAUUGAACCAGUUACAACGGUGGCAAAACCUUAAGUGAAAUUAGACCAGGAAAGGAAUUUUAAAAAAAUCAAGACAACAGUAACCAGACUAUGGAAUGCAAUCUUUUGCUCGGUAGUAGAGAACAGUUAAGUCCUGACACGAUCCUUAUUGAUCUGUAGAUAUAAUUGUUGUUCACUAUGGUAGCACUUUUCGGAUUAUUUUCAGUUUAUAAAUUAUUAAUGAUGGUGAAAUUUAAGAUAAUCAGGAGUAAUUGAUGAGAGACGUACUGGGAGAACCAUUGCAAGUAAUGUUCCAAACAUACCAUAUUCAAUAUGUUACUAAUUACUCAACAUGUGGAUUAACGGUUGCUAUUUUGAAUGUAGUUAGCUACACGUUUGAAUUCCAAAACAGGGGGCCUCCCAUACGCCCAUGUACUCAAUUUUCUUGAUAGCUGUCAUAGUGGAAUACAAACUACACCGAAGAGAAGAUAGGAACCAUAUUGAUUUGCUUCCUGUUGUCCGGAUCUUUGAAAUAAAAAACAAAGUUAAUUGUACUUAGCAAUUUUAUUUCAAACAUAGUAUGCACUACAAUCUUCAAAAUGUAUAUUGAUCUUGCUCCCCAAUCAUGACAAGUACUAAAUAAUAUGUUAUGUAUUAUUUUUAUAUUAUUUAGAGUCCAUACUUUAAAUUUUUGUGAUCCUUCUAAUGAUUCCAUAAGUGUUAGAAAAUUAAUCAAAAAUAGAAAAUUUAAUUGGUUGUUCAUCUUGAUGAAAUUAAAUAAAAAAUACUAAUAUUUAUGUCACCUAAAAGUGUAGCCGUGCAGAACGGUUGAUGGACUAGUGAGAUCUAAUAUGAAUAUAUUUUACUAUUUUUAAAAAAUCAAUAUUUUGGACGAUCUAUCUCAACAUUUUAAUUUUAAGUAUGCUACUCCAACAUUUUUAAUUAGAUGUUGAAAUGGUUUAUUCAAAAUGUUGAAUGUAGUUUGAAAGAAUGUUGAAUCUAAUAAUUAAAAUGUUGAGUAUAUUAGUUUGAUAUUUUGAAUAUAUGAGGUCACAACGAAAGUCUAAAUAACAGCGCACGUUGCCUAUCCGUAGGCCUGUGCCCUCCUGCAUGCUACUGGCUGGCCUCCUCCCUCAUCCCCCGCUGGUGAUCAGCACGCGCUUUGAAGAGCAGCGCCGGCGGCAGCACAAACUUGGGAGGGUCUCUGCGGCGGAGCAUCAACCAUCACCUUUGAUCUGAUCUUCAGAGUUCAGUCAUAUAUAUAGUUCAGUUAACUUAAUGGUCAUGCGUCUGAAGGAAAACCGCAAUUAUUUUACAUUUUGAUAUCACCAAACUCCUGCCAAAUGCCUAAAUCCUUUUCAAACGAUGAUAAAUAUUUUCAUUUCAGGGCGGCAAAAUCUGAAGAGGCUCACUGUAUAUUGUACUUUAGUUCUACUAUCAGUUCAGCACCUUCUUCGUUUCCUUGAGGUCACACCACAUUAGAACCAGCAAUCAAAACACUUACGCCUCGUCAGAUCAACUCAUGGCUGAUGAAUGAUCCAUGAACAAUUGUUGGAUGACUUUGCAUCAACGGAUGCAUGCUUAUAUUACAAGCCAGAACAAUGCUCAAGACUGUCGUACUAUCAUAUAUAUACUCCCGUGGCUUGGAUGCCAUUCAAAAUGCUGCAAGAGGUAGAGCAACUUGUAGUUCUCUGUCGAGGUGUAAACGAGCUGUAUAUAUUGGGAGGGAGCUCUGAAAUGUUGGGCUAUUGGAGGUAACCAAAGUAUCAUCCUCAGCUUUGACCUGUGUGGCUUAGUUCAUUCUAGGUAACUCAGCGGGCGACGUGGGCAUAUGGCUGUGGUAUCUGGUAUUUCUGCUUGUUCGGACGUUUUACUGGAUUCACGGUAAGUUAAUCUUCUCAUGGUCUUUGUCGAGUACAACUGAUGUAACACGUCGACACAGUGUAUUGAAGGGGUCGAUCCUCUCUCAUUCUGAUCGAACUCUUGGAGAUAGCAUACCAGCAGCAAAAAUUCCUUCUUUUUCAAAUUGAACAGCAAAAACAAAAAUGAUACUGUGACAGAUAAAAGGAAUUUGCAGGAACAGAGAUAUCAUCUGUCGUUCAGUCGUGGAACCGCUGUGUUGCGUACUCGUGCCUGACGGAGCUCUGAAGUCGAACAAGACACUUGUGACAGAGAGCAGAGCUCCAAAAGUCCAAAUUCAGAAUUUCAGAGUCCUCUCUUGAUUUCAAUUUUCAAUACAAAGAUGUUUCUUCUGAUCCUGCUAGUCCUUCUGGAAAUCUGCGACAGCGGCGGCAUAAGAAUUUGAACCCGACGGAGCCAUACACUGUACAAAACGUAUGGUAAUUGUAUGUCUUCCUUCCAAAGUUCCUAAGUCAGCCAUGGAAGAGACAGGGCACGGAUCAAACAGAAAAUAGAGAGGGACAGACCCCGUCUCUGCUAACACUUGCCAAUCUCUGUGUUUUACGCUGGUCUUCUCUAGUUUAGCCAAUCUUCUCUAGUUUAGCAAAACUGACUAAACUCUCGGUGAACGAAAAAUUAAGGAUUUCCACGAAGCAGGACUCUCUGGGCCUAGCACAGGCCUAAACACCAAGCUGCUGAGCCCAAAUUUAUUCCACCAAUGUCUCCAUGAUGUGCUUCCUGGUUAGGGAUCAAGAACUGUCCUUUAUGACUUCAUCCGAUGCCUCGAUGGUGUGGUUAGCGACUUUUGCCUGACAGACUGAACUAUGUAUGAAGAGACAGUUCUGACAGACGUUAAAGCUUCAACAGAUACGCAGAGUGCUCAUGCAUUUUCUUUCUUUUUAAAAAUAAUAAAAAGCUACACUUCACAGGUGGGCAAUUCCUUCGCUAGGCACCCAAUUUGCUUGCAUUCCCGCCGAUGAUUUGGCUCCCCUAAUAUGGGCUGCACUGCGCGUGCGCCAUUUGAGGGAAGCCCAUCGGUUCAUCUCCUCCGUCUCGCACACACGGCAUUGGCACCCAACAAACCAAAAAAAAAAAAAAAUACUGAUGAGUCCUGAGAAGAGCUCGUUACUCCGGUAUGCACCCAUGAUAGAUGAAUGGUGUACCAACAUUUGUUGGAUGACUAGCACUGCUUACAAAGAGUGUUCUGUAUAUACACUCACAUGCCUAUGCCUUGAAUGCCCAGAGAUAGAGUACCACGUGUGUUCUCUUUCAAGCAGCUAGUCUGAAACUCACCCUUGGAUGAUGAGUAAUUGACAACAUUAUGUUGGAUUGAUGUUACUCUUGGCUUGUGAUGUGCAGGUGUAGGAUGUGACAUGGCGGCCGACGAUGUGCGGUGAAGGUCGAAUGAAAGGUUCAUGCCGGUGGACAAGGGCGGUGAAGGAUGAACGCAAGUAGGCUUAUCGAUGGACCCGAGGUGUCCAGGCGGAGUCAUGGGCGGUCCACAUAGUGCACGAAAGAGCGAGAGAACAUGACGGAUGGAGACGGCGUCGGUCAAGUCGAGCGGGAGGCUCGGCGAAGGCCGGACACGCGUCAACAUCGAGGAGAUCACGUGGCAGCCAAGCGGAGAUGGACGGUUUGGCUGGUUUGGGCCUCAAAACCACUGCGCAGGCAGGUUUCCUGGUUUGAGCCUCAAAACCAGGGGUGAGCCUGGUGCGGCCAGAGCUUCGAGAAGGAGGGCACGUGACGUCAUCGCGAAGUUUGCGUCGAGGCGAAGCAAAGUCGUGAAGGUGGCGUGUCAGUCGGAUGCGCCGAUAAAAAUAUGAACCAAAAUACCCCUGCGUUGGUGGUUAUCUUAGUUGAUGUUGUAGGGGUAGUUUGAUCAUCUGCCAAGGACUAUAUAUAUGGGUGGAUGGCUGGUUAUUUCAGAUCUCUUUGCUUAGGAACUCAAAAUUAUUUUUUUUCUUAGAGGCUAGUCAUGUGCUUAGAGAGAGAGAAAAGGGAGAUGAGAGGGUGAUUACUCUUUUCUCUUAAUUUCUUCAUCAUUAGUGGGUGGAUGAAGGGAGGAGGCUAGUCCUCAUCUUCUUAUAAAGAAUAUGUUCUCGUAAUUUAGCAUUGUUAGCUAUCUCAAAUCGUGCUAAAUCUUUGAUUCCCGAGUGUUUUUUUUCUAUUUUCGGAGCCAUUUUUGGGAUUUAUUAUUCUUCGUGUUUGAGCCCAAAUCUCGUAAGAUUGGUUGAUGGAAAAUGUUGCUAGGACCUUAGGGAGCAUCUUUGAUAUGAUCCCUUCCAAAUCCCUCACAAAUCCAACUUGAAUUUUGAAUUUCUCCCAAAACCGUGUUUGAGUUAGGGUUUCGGUUUUCUCCAAGAUUUGCGAUGAAUAUACUUAAGAUUUUUGAGAUUUGUCUCGUGGAUCCAUUUGCCCUUGAGGUAUUGCAUCCUUGUCUUAAGUUUCAUCUCGAUCCAUGGAGAUUUGAAGGAGGAUUUCUCGUUUGAAGAUUUGCAUGUUCUUGAGGCUGUUCUUGUGUUCUUCGGGUCGUCUCUGUUCUUUGCGCAGGUAUCGAGCGAAGCAGACACAAAGCAGCUGCACGUGAAACAGCAGGCCAGGCACACGGGCCGUCAGCGCAGCAGCAGGCGAGCGGGCCGACAGGGCGCGUGCGACGCAGCAGCAGAGGCCCAGCUGAGCAAACGAUCCAGGCAGGCCAUGCACGCGCAGCAGGCCGUCAGGUGCACCAGGCUGGCCCACGCGUGAGGCAGGCCCAGCACACAGGCCACAGGCCGCACGUCCAGCAGCCAGGAGCUCGUGGCCCAGGAGCGAAGCCCAGCGCCAACGAGUUGCAGGCACGGCCCAGUACCAGCGGCCCAGGCAAGCGGGCCAUCGCCGGCCGGCAGCAGCUGGUCCACCAGUGGCCCAAGCGAGCAGCAGCAGCGGCCCGCUAGCGUGGGGAGCAGGCCCAGCAAGGUGAGAAGGCCACAGUUCUAUCGUUCAAUUACUAGUCUGUGUGAUUUAAUCGCUGAAAUCACUAGUAAAUCUCUGACACCUUGUUUAGCUACUUGUUUAGUGUUUUGUCUUACUAAUCAUGCUUAGCUCUUUAAAUUAAUUGUUAAUCCUUCCAUGCCUAGUUAAGCAAGUGGUUAGUAAUAUCUUUGCUUAAAUCUUAUUUGUGCAAACUUGAUGGAGUCGAUUUAUGCUUUGCUUCCGCUAUGAGUUGAGCGUCUCCUAUUGUUCCUAGAGUGAGUUUGUCACGGGUUGACUAGUGUCAUCUUGACGCGAAGUGUGUUUUGAGUGGAAAUUGGGACAUAGGCCUUGUUCUCUUUGAAGAAUUUUAAAGGUUUCCAUUCACCCCAUCUGAUCGCUCUUUCGGUUCUUCAGAAACAUUUGAGGAAACCAAAUUAUGAGCUUUCACUUGUGUAGCUGAAUGCAUCCACAACGAGUCGGCGAGGCAUGUGGGCAUAUUGUACUUUACUUUUGCCUAUUCAAUCAUUUCUCUCACGAUCCACUACAAAAAUCAGAGCCAACAAGAGACAUGAGUGAUAAUAGCGGACAUGGUUACUCUAUCAUAGAUUGCACUAAACACUGGAAUGCGUCCUAUGUUGCUAAUAGUAUACGUGUUUGUAACUGAUAUGGAUAGACAUGAUGUAUUAUUUGUUAAAAGAUCCUCUGGUUCUUGAAUAGUUGAUCAAUGACAUGAGUUUGCUACCUGGAUGUGGAUGAGAACACAAGUGUAGUGUGGUGUCUAACUGUGGUGCUAGCAUGACAUGAUCAUGGUAGAUGAAUGAUCCAUGAAUAAUUGUUGCAUGACUUGCAUCAAUGAUCAAUGGAUGCAUGCUUAAAGCAACAAUACCAAAGACUAUCACACUAUCAUUUACCAUUCAAAAUGUUUCAAGAGGUAGAACUGUAGAACAACCUGUGUAUCUUGCUGUUAAGAUGUACUCUAAAGUAUUCAGCUAUUGGAGGUAACCAAACUAACAUUACAAGCAUGUUGGAGCUAGCUCGAAAAGCCAUGUGGGGAUCCGGGUAUGGUUUAUGAUGUUUCCAUCCGCUCAAAUUCUUCAGCAGUUUCUUUCGAGCAGAGUUUAUAUAAGAUGCAUGCCUCUGUUUGCGAAACACGAGUCUUUUAUUCACAUCAAUGUUUGUACAGGCAAGUUCUAUAAAAAAAUAUUUCAUUCACAUCCUUAGUGAAAGAGACGUUUGCCGUUUACCAAUAAAAUCUUAUGGUCAUCGCCAAUGCUGUAUCUGUGACAGAUAAAAGUGCAUUGCAGGAACAAAUAGAUCCUCUGUGGCUCUGUCGUUCAGUCGUUACUAGUUCCUGAAGCGUUAGUGUAAGGUCUGGUUUGGUUGCCUGACUUAUUUUUAAACACCCGUCACAUCGAAUGUUUAGAUACUAAUUAGGAGUAUUAAACGUAGACUAUUUACAAAACCGAUUACAUAAGUGGAGGCUAAACGGCGAGACGAAUCUAUAAGCCUAAUUAGUCCAUGAUUUGACAAUGUGUUGCUACAGUAAACAUUUGCUAAUGAUGGAUUAAUUAGGCUUAAUAGAUUCGUCUCGCCGUUUAGUCUCCACUUAUGUAAUGGGUUUUGUAAAUAGUCUACAUUUAAUACCCCUAAUUAGUGUCUAAACAUUCGAUGUGACAGGUGCUUAAAAAUAAGCAAAGGAACCAAACAGGCCCUAAAGAGACCGGAGAAGUAGUCGAGAUCGAGGCCGUUGUCUUGUAGUCGGUUCAGGCAGGCCCGAGGUCACAUUGUUGGCCCUGCUCGAAAAUGUUGCAAGAUGGGAUCGAAGCAGAUCAUUAUGCUCGAAAGUGUAUUUGCAUGGCUUUGUUCCAAAGUUCCUCCGUCAACCAUGCAAGAGUCAGUCUUUUUUUAGUGUGACUGAAUCUUGGCUGCAAGCAAAGCUACAGCCUGCAGGCUGCAGGUCACACGAUUCACUUGAUACAUGACUGAAUGGAAGGGAACAUGCCUAAACAUCUGAGCUGUCGCCGCCGGCAAGGAGUGUAUCCAUUUGUGCAGCCCAAUCACAAAUGCUCGUAUGGGCUACUUUGAAGCGGCAGCAGCAAGACUGUUGCCGAGCACCAAAUGUCAUUCUUUAUCCGAUCUUCAGAAUUCGGUCAUGUAAUAAUUCAGUUCACUCCUUGACUUGAUGGGUGUGGUUUGCGAAACGAGAUCAUGAUUCCAGAGUGCACUCAAUCACCCAUGAUGAAUGAAUGAUUGAUUAGCAGUUUGCUGGAUGCCAUUGAGAAUAUUACAAGAGAUAGAGUAACCUGUAUCACCGUAAAAAGCAGCUGUACUACACAUAAGCCAGAGAACUCUCAAGUAUUAGAGGAAGCCAAAUUACUAUGAUAAGUUUUGACUUAUGUAACCAAAUGCAUGGAAGUCAUGAAGGGAAUAGUUUAGCGGCAUCAGCGCGUGGGGAAUAUAUAGUUUAGCGGCAGGGGCCCAGGACACAGUGCAGGGAAUCAGAGUUCUCGCAAAGAAAACCUUUCUCCGUAGAAUUGCUCAAAGAAUCAUAGAGAAUCACUUUCAACCACAUAAUUACUUUUCUGCAAGAAUCAACCCCCGCUAAAGAAUCAGGAGCAGGUGGACCCUAUGUACACGGGAAGAACAAAGCAUGCAUAAACAUGUCUGCCCUUUAUCGAAAAAAUAAACAUGUCUGUUAAGCUGAGACUAAUGCCAGGGCUUGUCCCGGGUGCCUUGGAUUUGUCAAGAAAUUGCAAGGACCCUUCACAGUUGACAGGGAGUAAAGAAAUUGCUUUGAUUAUCCAGGACCCUUCACAGUCAACACGGACUAAAGAAAUUGUAUUUAUUAUCCAGGACCCUUCACAGUCGACAAGGACUAAAGAAAUUGCACUGAUAUUUCAGGCUGUGCUCAAUUAGUUUCUACACUGAUAGGCAUACCGCAGACCUUGACCUCGUGCCUGGCCGUGGUUCUCUGGACAAACAGAUGAGGCCGAAUUCAAUGUCCUUGUUAGGUGCAACGUGCAAUCGUUACAGUCGCAUGGGCCACGAAUGAUAGGGUUCCAUAGUGACCUGUUGGAAAUUGGAAUCAAUGCAACCAGGGAGGAAAUUGGAAAACGUAUAUACAAAAACAUGCUGGCAUGAGACCAUAAGAAAUUCUCUUGCAGCAGAAUGACUUCUCUGUUUUUUUUUUUUUGCCUUUUUCCACAAUAUUAAGGUCAAACUCGUAUUUCAAAGCCAACAUGGACUUGCCGGCGGCCGCACCUACUCCUUCAUGGAAGAGGCGUACAGAUAAGAGCAAGUAAUCAAGAGAACAAGUGCAUGGGAGAGCAUUAUAUUGUAUUUGUCCAGAAAUUGGAUUAGUAUGUCCAGAACUCACGAUAGUGACCGGAGAAAAGGCAGCAAAACGGAACCGGAAACGAUGGGGAGACCUUGGCCUUGACCUCGAGUCGUCGACUGGAGACUGGAGUGAGCACGUGAGCGGGGCCAGGAGCAGGACGUGCAGCGACCAGCAAGCAUUGAGUUUGGUGGUUGAGCAGCGGGGCCACUGAGCGGUGAUGCAUUAUUACCUUCAAUUAUUAAUUGCCUUCCCCUUCCCCUGCAUCCGCAUCCCAUCGACCUCUGCUUCGUGCGAUUCCAAGGCGGUUGCGAGCGGUGAGCUGUGUUGCGGCCGAGCAAGCUUGAAUCAAGCAACCUCGGUCCGGCGACGAGCGGCUGGCGGCGCGAUCCGGCAAACCAGUGAGUCCUAGCUGUCGCACUCUUGUUCUUCAAUCUUCUUCAUGCCCAUCCAUUCCCAAUAGGCAAUAGCUACAGCCUACGAAAAGGCAGGUCGAGCACCCCCAUCCGAAGGAGCCCAAGCGGCCAUCCACAAAGAGAUAAAGUCACGAGACCCUAUCGUUAGCUUCUCUCAUCAAUUAAUAUGAUUUCUGUCGUUAGCUUCUCUCCAUCUGAAUUAAGCUGUUCAAACGAUGUCACAAUUUGAUUAAUGAUUUGAAUUUUAAUGGUAGAUCGUCAACAACUCAAAUGUCGAGAAAAACAUCAAUCAUACAUCAUUCAGUUUCAUUUUAGUACUAGCAUACAACCUUACUCAUUGCUCUUGCCCAGGGACAAAUCCAUGGAGAUCGUGACAGGGGCAAUUCCAAGCCUCCUGGACAAGCUCAGUGAGUUGCUAGAUGGCGAGUACAAUCUGCAAAAGGAGGCUAAGGGAGGGAUCAAAUUCCUUCAAACUGAGCUCGAGAGCAUGCAAUGUGCCCUCGAGAAGAUCUCGAGGACACCAGCAGACAAGAUUGACGACCAGGACAAGAUCUGGGCUAGGAAAGUGAGAGAGAUGUCCUACGAUAUAGAGGACAAUAUUGACAAAUAUAUCGUGCAGUGCAAGGGGAGGAAGAGGAAGAGGAAGACGGACGAACAGCAUAGCUUCAAGGAAGCUAUUGAUAGGUUCCUCGAAUGGUUAUGGCAGCCUAUGAUUCGUCGUAAGUUUGCUACAGAAAUCAGAGAGAUCAAGAGCCGUGUCAUCGAGGUGCACGAGCGGCGCCGCAGGUAUGAGGUCAGCCUUGGUGUUGACAAGCCUGUAACUGUGGACCCUCGUUUAUUCGCUCAGUACACGGAGGUCAAAGAGCUUGUUGGAAUUGAUGAGGCAAGGGAUGAGUUAAUCAGCAAGAUUAUGAUAGAAGAGAAUGAAGUUCCCAAGAAGCAAGGCAGGAUAGUUUCAAUUGUUGGAUUUGGAGGUCUGGGAAAGACAACUCUUGCCAAUACAGUGUACAAAAAGAUUAGAGCACAAUUUGAUUGCUAUGCUUUUGUUUCUGUUUCUCAAACUCCUGACCUGAAGAAACUGUACAAAGGCUUGCUAUAUGAUCUUGGCAAGAGCAUCAACGAAGAAACAUUGGAUGAGAGGCGACUCAUAGAAGCACUCACAGAAUUCCUUGAAGACAA